GGUGCACAGGCUACCUCUUAGAGAAGAUUGUCCUUCGGUAAAGCAGAAGCUUCGUAGAACUAGUCCUGACAUGGCUGUUAAGAUCAAAGAAGAGGUUCAGAAGCAGUUGGAUGCGAGUUUUCUGUCAGUGACCAAUUAUCCCCCGUGGGUGGCCAACAUCGUACCUGUGCCGAAGAAGGAUGGUAAAGUCAGGAUGUGUGUCGAUUACCGGGAUUUAAAUAGAGCCAGUCCGAAAGAUGACUUCUCAUUACCUCCCAUUGAUGUAUUGGUUGAUAAUACUGCUCAAUCCUCGGUUUUCUCUUUCAUGGAUGGAUUUUCUGGCUAUAAUCAGACCAAGAUGGCGCCAGAAGACAUGGAAAAGACGAAAUUCAUUACACCUUGGGGAACGUUCUGCUAUAAGGUGAUGCCAUUUGGCCUGAAGAAUGCCGGUGCUACCUAUCAGAGGGCUAUGACGACUCUCUUUCAUGACAUGAUGCACAAAGAGAUUGAAGUGUACAUGGAUGAUAUGAUUGCGAAGUCUCAGACAGAGGAGGAGCACCUGGUAAACCUGCAGAAGUUGUUUGAAAGACUGAGAAAGUUCAAACUGAGGCUGAAUCCAAACAAGUGUACGUUUGGGGUGAGAUCCAGAAAGCUGUUGGGUUUCAUUGUCAGUGAGAGAGGGAUUGAGGUUGAUCCAGCGAAAGUAAAAGAUAUUCAAGAAAUGCCUGAACCAAGAACUGAAAAGCAGGUUCGUGGGUUUUUAGGGAGAUUGAACUACAUUGCACGGUUUGUAUCUCACCUAACUGCCACGUGUGAACCCAUUUUCAAAUUGCUAAGAAAAGAUCAAGCAAUCAGGUGAAAUGAUGACUGUCAAAAAGCUUUUGAUAAAAUAAAAGAGUAUUUGCAGAAACCUCCAAUCCUUAUCCCUCCAGUUCCUGGAAGGCCUCUGAUAAUGUACCUUUUAGUAACCGAGAACUCGAUGGGGUGUGUAUUGGGACAGCAUGACGAGUCUGGUCGAAAAGAGCAUGCUAUAUACUACCUUAGCAAAAAAGUUUACCGACUGUGAAAUAAGAUAUUCGCAGCUCGAGAAAACUUGUUGUGCUUUGGCCUGGGCUGCUCGCCGACUGAGACAGUAUAUGUUGAACCAUACUACCUUAUUGAUUUCUAAGAUGGUAAAAAGUUUACCGACUGUGAAAUAAGAUAUUCGCAGCUCGAGAAAACUUGUUGUGCUUUGGCCUGGGCUGCUCGCCGACUGAGACAGUAUAUGUUGAACCAUACUACCUUAUUGAUUUCUAAGAUGGACCCCGUAAAAUACAUCUUUGAAAAGCCGGCUCUCACCGGACGUGUUGCUCGUUGGCAGAUGAUUUUAACAGAGUAUGACAUCCAGUAUACGUCGCAGAAGGCCAUCAAAGGUAGUAUUCUGUCAGACUACCUCGCUGAGCAACCAAUCGAUGAUUAUCAGCCGAUGAUGUUUGAGUUCCCUGAUGAAGACAUCAUGUACUUGAAGAUGAAAGAUUGUGAAGAGCCUCUUGUCGGAGAAGGACCGGAUCCUGAUGACAAGUGGACAUUGAUGUUUGAUGGGGCUGUGAAUGUGAAUGGCAACGGUGUUGGGGCAGUGCUUAUCAAUCCCAAAGGUGCACACUUACCUUUUUCUGCCAAAUUUACUUUUGACGUAACCAACAACGAGGCUGAGUAUGAGGCUUGUAUCAUGGGGAUAGAGGAAGCCAUCGAUUUGAGGAUCAAAACUCUAGACAUUUAUGGAGAUUCCGCUCUAGUGAUUAACCAAGUCAAUGGAGACUGGAAUACUCCUCAGCCACAUUUGAUUCCUUAUCGAGAUUACACCAGAAGGAUCUUGACUUUCUUCAAGACAGUGAAGUUAUAUCAUGUCCCCCGAGAUGAAAAUCAGAUGGCUGAUGCCUUGGCUACUUUGUCUUCUAUGAUCAAAGUCCAUUGGUGGAAUCAUGUGCCACAUGUUGCUGUGAAUCGACUCGAGAGGCCUGCGUAUGUGUUUACAGCCGAGUCUGUUGUUGAUGAGAAGCCGUGGUACUUUGACAUUAAGAAUUUCCUUAAGAGCCAGGAGUAUCCUGAAGGAGCAUCAAAGAAUGACAAGAAGACCUUGAGAAGGCUAGCUGGAAGCUUUUAUUUGAAUCAGGAUGAUGUGUUGUAUAAGAGGAACUUUGAUAUGGUUCUGCUCAGAUGCGUGGAUAGACACGAAGCAGACAUGUUGAUGCAAGAAGUACAUGAAGGAUCGUUCGGUACCCAUGCUGGUGGUCAUGCAAUGUCUAAGAAGUUGUUAAGAGCUGGUUAUUACUGGAUGACUAUGGAACCCGAUUGUUUCAAAUACGCUCGGAAAUGCCAUAAAUGUCAGAUCUAUGCAGAUAAGGUGCAUGUACCACCAAGCCCUCUGAAUGUCAUGAAUUCUCCUUGGCCAUUCGCGAUGUGGGGCAUCGAUAUGAUUGGGAAGAUUGAACCUACUGCUUCUAAUGGGCAUCGCUUCAUCCUGGUCGCGAUCGAUUACUUCACCAAGUGGGUGGAAGCAGCUUCCUAUGCUAAUGUUACCAAGCAAGUGGUUGCCCGGUUCAUUAAGAAGGAGAUUAUUUGUCGUUAUGGGGUUCCUGAGAGAAUCAUUACUGAUAAUGGUUCGAACCUCAAUAACAAGAUGAUGAAAGAGCUCUGCAAAGAUUUUAAGAUCGAACACCACAAUUCUUCUCCUUACAGACCAAAGAUGAAUGGUGCUGUAGAGGCGGCAAACAAGAAUAUCAAGAAGAUUGUGCAGAAGAUGGUCGUGACGUACAAGGAUUGGCAUGAGAUGCUGCCUUUCGCUUUGCAUGGGUACCGUACCUCAGUACGUACGUCGACCGGAGCAACCCCUUACUCCCUUGUGUAUGGUAUGGAAGCAGUCCUACCAGUUGAAGUGGAGAUCCCUUCCCUGAGAGUCUUGCUGGAUGUCAAGCUAGACGAAGCUGAGUGGGUCAGGACAAGGUUUAAUGAGUUAAGCCUUAUCAAAGAAAAGCGGUUAGCAGCUGUGUGCCAUGGGCAGCUAUAUCAGAGAAGGAUGAAGAAAGCCUUUGAUCAGAAAGUGCGUCCUCUAAGCUAUCAGACAGGUGAUUUGGUUUUGAAGAGGAUCCUUCCUCCCGGUACAGAUAACAGGGGCAAAUGGACUCCGAAUUACGAAGGUCCAUAUGUUGUUAAAAAGGUUUUCUCUGGUGGAGCCUUGAUGUUUACAACUAUGGAUGGUGAAGAUUUUUCGUCCCCUGUUAACUCAGAUGUAAUCAAAAAAUACUUCGCAUAAAUUGACCCGUUGGACGAAAAAAGAAUAAAAGAGUCCAGGCAAAAAAAGGGCAUCCCGGCGAACCAAAAAAAAUGAAAAAAGUUCGGGCAAAAAUUAGGGAUAAAAGAAUAAAAAGAUUGUACACCCGGUAAGUCGAAAACCCGCAAGGGCGGCUUAGGCAAAAAUGGGUAACCCGGUGGAUUGAAAACCCGAAAGGGCGAUCCAUGCAAAAGAGGGAUUAAAGCGAAGACUAUAGUCUGAGUUAUCUGUACUUCACCAUGCUUCAGUGUCUACCAUCUCGAAGGAUAUGAUCGGUCCAAUCAUUCUUCUUAGAAAGCAAGGAAUUUGAGGAUCUGUGAGUCAUAACAGAAUUGGAAAAUAGUGGAUGUUGUAUUCACAUUGCCAUUAGGAUAAAUAUUUCCUUUUGCGUGCAAUUACCUCUUCCUAGGAAUUGCUUCCUGAUGUAUUUGCCUUUUCAGGCCCAUUUUCAAUCAAUAAAAGUCGUUAUUCAGAUAAAUUACUCUCUUGUUUUUUAUUUUACUGUUUUGUAAAUGUCCGGAUUUUUGAUAAACAUUGCAUAUAAAAAAAACGUGAAGGCUAGACAAUAACAUGCAGAAAGAUAAAACAUUUGAAAAUCAUUUUGAAUGUUGAGUACACUUGGGUGUAUCUUGUCCAUACAAUCCCCUAGGGCAUGUAUGUCUUGCUGUUUUGCAGGUUAUUACCUUUGAUUUCUGGUUGAAGCAGAUAAGCCACGAUUUGUUCAGAGGCGUUUCAACACUGUCCAGUAGUGUGAAAGGUUGGGUUGUCUAAAGCAAGUUCAGGACUUGUCUCCCCAGCGUAUUCGAGAUCAGGGAUUCCUCGGCAGGGUUGAGGACGUUUCCCCAGCAAGUCUGAAAACUAUUAGAGUUGUUCUUCCCCGGCAGAGGCAUCUGUGGGUAGUAUGUCCCUCAGCGGCAGGUUCAAAGGCUACCCUAUCCCCAGCUAGUCUGAAGACUGUUAGUCCCCACUGAGUCUGAAGGUUGUCGUUUCCCCAGCAGUGGUGCCUGUGGGUGGUUUGUUCCUCAACAGUCGGGUAUGAAGUAAUGAAAUCCUCAGCAGGGUCGUGAAUGCUUUUCCCCAGCAGGGUUGUGAAUGUUUUCCCCAGCAAGUCUGAAGUGGGCAGUCUUCCCAGAAGAGGUUUGCGUUGAUGGUUUUCCCCAGUGAAGUCCCCAAGCGGAUCGAGUUCGGUGAAAAUUUUCCCCAAUAGGGUUAAUCCUGCCCGUGGAUUGGUAGGUAUCCCCAGUGAAGGUGAGCAUUGGUUGUUUCCCCUAGCGGAGUCUCCAAGCAGAUUGAGUUCGGUGAAAGUUGUCCCCGGUGGGAUUUAUCCUUUCUCCAGCAGCAGUGCUAUUCCCCAUCACGUUCGAGGUUGGUGUGUUCCCUAGCUAGAGGCUCCCCAGUUGAGUUGGCUUCUCUGCCGUCCCCAGAGUGUCAGAUCAGCAAAGCACCCCCAACAGUGCGUCUACCCAUAGAGUUGGAGGAUCAAAUCAGAUUUGUGUGCUCAGCGGAGCAACCAGUUCUCCCCAGCGGGAGUCUUCAUCAUUUUUGCAUCUUGCAUGUAGUAAUCAUUGCAUCCUCAAAUAACGUAGCAUUUCCAUUCAAUAUGGAGCAUUACGCCAUGGAAAUUCAAACAUAUGCAUACAUGUGUUAAACCUAAUUGGACCAUAUCCCCAGCAGAGACGGAUCAUUAUUCAACAAUCCGCAUGGCAUAUUUGCAGUGGUGGCUCCUGACAGCAUUCAGGAUUGGUAAUCCCCAGAGAGGUUUAUUUCCUCACCCGCUGAUGAAAGGAAAGCUUGACUCCCCAGCGUAGUCCCCGACGAGUGUGUGGCCUUGUCCUGACAUAUGUAGAUGUCAUCCUUGCGGUACCAGUAGGUGUCGUGUCGAUCCCCGUAUGGAUCCUGUCUUUUGGUGUCUGUAGACAUCAUCUUUCGAUGUCCGUAACAUCAGCCUCGUUCUCCCAUUCGUCCGUCGACGUCUGGUUGUAUAUCUCUUCCUAUUCGUCCUUUGGCGUCUAGUCGUGGUUUCUCUUCCUAUUCAUCGUCUUUCGAUGUCUAGUCGUGGUUCCUUUCUCCCAUUCAUCUGUUGAUGUCUGGUUGAGUCUUUCCUAUUCGUCCGUUGACGUCUAGUCGUGGUUUCUCUUCCUAUUCGUCCUUUGGCGUCUAGUCGUAGUUUCUCUUCCUAUUCAUCGUAUUUCGAUGUCUAGUCGUGGUUCCUUUCUCCCAUUCAUCCGUUGAUGUCUGGUUGAGUCUUUCCUAUUCGUCCGUUGACGUCUAGUCGUGGUUUCUCUUCCUAUUCGUCCUUUGGCGUCUAGUCGUAGUUUCUAUUCCUAUUCAUCGUAUUUCGAUGUCUAGUCGUGGUUCCUUUCUCCCAUUCAUCUGUUGAUGUCUGGUUGAGUCUUUCCUAUUCGUCCGUUGACGUCUAGUCGUGGUUUCUCUUCCUAUUUAUCCUUUGGCGUCUAGUCGUAGUUUCUCUUCCUAUUCAUCGUAUUUCGAUGUCUAGUCGUGGUUUCUCUUUCUCCCAUUCAUCCGUUGAUGUCUGGUCGAGCUUUUCCUAUUCGUCUGUUGACGUCUAGUCGUGGUUUCUCUUCCUAUUCAUCGUAUUUCGAUGUCUAGUCGUGGUUCCUUUCUCCCAUUCAUCCGUUGAUGUCUUGGUCGAGUGUUUUCCCAUUCGUCCGUCGACGUCUGGUUGUAUAUCUUUUCCUAUUCGUCCGUUGACGUCUAGUCGUAGUUUCUCUUCCUAAUCAUCGUCUUUCGAUGUCUAGUCGUGGUUUCUUUCUCCCAUUCAUCCGUUGAUGUCUGGUUGAGUCUUUCCUAUUCGUCCGUUGACGUCUAGUCGUGGUUUCUCUUCCUAUUCGUCCUUUGGCGUCUAGUCGUAGUUUCUCUUCCUAAUCAUCAUCUUUCGAUGUGUGGUCGUGACUUCUUUAUUCCCAUUCAUCAUCUUUCAAUGUCUGGUCGUGGUUCCGGUCUCCGAUAAAAAAUCAAAAUCCCCAGUAGAGUCGUUGGUAAACAUCUUGUCUGGUCUAGUGAUAAAUAUCAGAUCCCGGUGGAAGUUGCUAUUGGUGAACCUUCUUUUCUUGGAUCCCCGCAGAGUGCAAAUUUCUACGGUACUUUUGGUAUUCAAUCCCUGUUUACCUUGAAUGUCUGACAGCCGUUGCUCUCAUCCGUUCAGGUUCCCAGUUGAUUGAAUAGGGGCAGCUGUAGCACCUCAAAUUUGCACCCCCCAUUUGUACAUUCAUUUCAUUUUUUAGGUCAUUAACAUUGCAUAAUGCAUUGCAUUUCAUCAGUCAAGACUGGUAUCAGGAGAAUUCAUCUGUGCAAGAGAGCAAGCAUUUUCAUGAGAAAAAGGCCCUAUGGUUGUUCUAGAUAGCUUGUGUGAACCCAAGGUUCAUUUUGAAGCAACUUGACCAAGUGUUGAAAGCUCAAAGUCCACAGUGCAGUUUCAGGUCAUCUGGGGCCCAUAAAAGUCAACUGCAAAGUCAACUGAGGGCUAGGAGGUGGAGAAAUGGUUUGAGACACUUCAUUCAUGUCCCAAAGAGGGUUAUUCAACAUGUAAAACAUCUACCUUGAAGAUUUUGAAGCCAGAUCAAAAGUUUCCCAAAAUGGAAAGUGACCUGUAAUUUCAAGUUUCCAAAAAUGGAAAGUUUUUAGACCAACUUCAACUCAACUUUCCAACAUCAAAGAAGCUUCAAAUGAAAUUUUGUCCAACAUGAAAGUUGAAGAUCUCUCUCUCCCAUUUCCAAAAAGUCCAAGAUCAUAAGCAUAUGAUGAAUGGUUGGGGAGAUAUGAUCAAAUCAUUGCCAAGUGUGCAUGAAACUUCAAAAGGGCAUAACUUUUGACUCAUAAUUCCGAAUUGAGUGGCUCUCUUUGCACUUUGCUCCUCAUGACAUGUAGUUUCCAAAUCAUUCAUCACAUUGCAUGGAAUUUGAACAGAUGAUCAUUUGUUUAUUCAUGAAGGUUUUGGAGGGAAAUUCAUAAAUUCAAAAUUGGUGCAUCAUGGGAACAAAUCACCAUUGUCAUUGUGUUAAUUGGGAGUUUUUAAGUGAAAAUGAUCAGCCACAUAGCACUGUUCACGUGUGCAUGCUUCAUGCACCACCAAUUUUGCCAAUUUGCCAAACACCUUAUUUUUCACUUAAUUUCAACAAACAGGAUUAAUUGCGAUUAAGAAUGGCGAAUAGCUUAGGGUAUUACUAUACAUAAUCAUACAGAAUUUUUCACUUCUUCACUAUUUGCUUGAUCUCAAAUUCUCUUUCCCUCCAAUUUUUUUCUCUCAAUCAUAAUUCAAAUUUUCAUCACAUAACCUUCCAAUUUUCUUGCAUAUUCUUGCUCCCUGGGGUGGAUUUAGUACAGAUCAAGCAUUGGAUCACCAAGAUUGGACCAGAAUCGUGCAUGUGGAGCUCAAGAACAUAGCCAUGGCAGUUGAGAUUUAAGCAAGAUCUACAUAGUUCCAAGCCUCAAAUUCUUCAUCAAUCUUCAUAACAAGUGUCCUAGAGCAGAUUUGAAGCUUGCCAAGCCUUGGAUCGUGCAUUUCCAGAAGUUGAUCUUCAAGAGGUUCAGUUUUCGAAUCUCAUAAUUCCCAAAACUAUUGCCAUUAUAGUGUAGAAAAUCUAAAUUACGUGGACCAUCAGAUCUCCCUUAUUAAUUGAGGUGGCAGAUCAGAUGGUCCCUAGCGCGCUAUCCACCAUUGACCUUAGUUAGCGCGUGGAAAAUGUGAUAUUCAAAACCAACGCUCAGGAUUAGAUCAAAACACAUGAAUCAUGUGGUUCAGAUGCUAGCCAACUCAUCGUCGGAGCCAGAGCUCCGGUCAUCUUCUCCGGUGGACCUCACCGAAUUGGUCCACCAUGAACCAUCACCAUAAUGAAAAACAAGGACAUGGUCUUGAAUAAAAAAUGGCACUGAGCUCGAAUCUGACCUCCAUUCACUCCAAUUCCAAGUAUAUUGAGAGAUACAUGGAAUUGAAAUUUGAGGUACAUGAACUGAGUUACUUCGAUUUGACCUCAAAGAAACUCAAUUUUCUUGCCUACAUUGGUAGGACUUCAGACAACCAAAGAAUCAAUAGAAUUGAGCAAGAAUUUGAGAGAAUCGAAGAGUUUAAAAUUUCCAAAAAAUACCUUCAAUGAAGGUCUGAAUUCAGUUGAUCUUGAUCUUGCUUAUGCUUGGACUCACUCCACUUGCUUGCAGGAGAAGGAUUGAAUGGUUAAAAAGCUAUGGAUUCCUGGAGAAUUGAAUUCCAAAAUAGUGGAGAUUCAAGCUCAAAUUCAACAGAAUUUUUCAGGCAUAUCCUUUGAGAAUUGAGGGUUUGAAAUGGGGGAUCAAAGCUGGCGCGAUUGUGUGCGUAUUUCUGAGCAAUUGAAGCUCUAUUUAUAGCUGAAAUGGUUGAUAAUUUCACACUCUCAUUCACUUUCUAAUUUUGGCAAAUGGUGAUGUAAUGGUGCAUGGGCGCGCAUAGGCACAUGAAAUGAUUACUAGAGGUCCAAAAAUGAACAUCAGAUGCUCUGAAGUAGGCUUGGAUUGCAAGGCAAGUGUACAUUGAUGUUUGAAGUUUGAUCCAUGCCAAGUGAUAUCACCCUGUUUAAGCCAUGCGCAAUUGGUGCAACCUGAAAAAUACAGUGCGUGAAAAAAAACAACCGGCGAAAGAAAAGGACAGAAGAGUCGCCACCGUGCGUUAUUCAUCCCAAAGGAGGGAAAGGAAACGCUCGAAGUAAACCUGAAAAAGGAAAGGACAAGACGGGGUCUCGCAACCAAAUCUUGGGUUCGGGAGUCGGUUAUGCGAAGGGAAGGUAUUAGCACCCCUACGCAUCCGUAGUACUCUACGGGAUCCACUUUUGUNNNNNNNNNNNNNNNNNNNNNNNNNNNNNNNNNNNNNNNNNNNNNNNNNNNNNNNNNNNNNNNNNNNNNNNNNNNNNNNNNNNNNNNNNNNNNNNNNNNNNNNNNNNNNNNNNNNNNNNNNNNNNNNNNNNNNNNNNNNNNNNNNNNNNNNNNNNNNNNNNNNNNNNNNNNNNNNNNNNNNNNNNNNNNNNNNNNNNNNNNNNNNNNNNNNNNNNNNNNNNNNNNNNNNNNNNNNNNNNNNNNNNNNNNNNNNNNNNNNNNNNNNNNNNNNNNNNNNNNNNNNNNNNNNNNNNNNNNNNNNNNNNNNNNNNNNNNNNNNNNNNNNNNNNNNNNNNNNNNNNNNNNNNNNNNNNNNNNNNNNNNNNNNNNNNNNNNNNNNNNNNNNNNNNNNNNNNNNNNNNNNNNNNNNNNNNNNNNNNNNNNNNNNNNNNNNNNNNNNNNNNNNNNNNNNNNNNNNNNNNNNNNNNNNNNNNNNNNNNNNNNNNNNNNNNNNNNNNNNNNNNNNNNNNNNNNNNNNNNNNNNNNNNNNNNNNNNNNNNNNNNNNNNNNNNNNNNNNNNNNNNNNNNNNNNNNNNNNNNNNNNNNNNNNNNNNNNNNNNNNNNNNNNNNNNNNNNNNNNNNNNNNNNNNNNNNNNNNNNNNNNNNNNNNNNNNNNNNNNNNNNNNNNNNNNNNNNNNNNNNNNNNNNNNNNNNNNNNNNNNNNNNNNNNNNNNNNNNNNNNNNNNNNNNNNNNNNNNNNNNNNNNNNNNNNNNNNNNNNNNNNNNNNNNNNNNNNNNNNNNNNNNNNNNNNNNNNNNNNNNNNNNNNNNNNNNNNNNNNNNNNNNNNNNNNNNNNNNNNNNNNNNNNNNNNNNNNNNNNNNNNNNNNNNNNNNNNNNNNNNNNNNNNNNNNNNNNNNNNNNNNNNNNNNNNNNNNNNNNNNNNNNNNNNNNNNNNNNNNNNNNCAUGGGCCAAUGACACUUGCUGGGGAUAACAAAGGUAAGUCAUGAACAAUCUUCAGUCUGAGUACUGAAAACAACUUCUAGCUUAUCACUUGGGAUACCGAGAAUGUUUUAUGCUUACAUGCGUAUGUUUGAAUUUUCCAAUUGCGUAAUGCAACAUGAAAAUGGAAAUGCUACGCGAUUUGGAAGGAUGCAAUGCAAUAUGAUUCUACAUGCAGGGAUGCGAAAUGCUGGGUAGAAUGCCAAGAUGAGGCAAGGGGAUCUGUUGGGGAAAUGAUCACCAUCUUCUGGACCCUGGCAAGGCUGCUGGAGAUGCACAUCGCAAAGAAUUAUGUGGGGAAAUGACCCGCCACACGGUGUUCUAGCAAUGACGAAAUGCCGAGAUUCAGACUGGGGAUAGAACGACACUGAACACCUGUUGUUGGGGAAAGCGAUAGUGGUUCUGGCAACCACGAUCUGCGAGAGAUGACUCAGCAGGGGAAGCAAACACUGAUACGGUACCGGGGUUCUGCUUCAAGGAAAGAAACCAUGGAUCUGGCAUUGGGAUUAUCGAUCUGGCAUCGAACUCUAAGGAGCAGCCACUUCUGCUGGGAAGAUACAGUCUGGCACUGUCAACUCCGCUGGGGAUAUAUAGUCUGGCACUGUCAACUCUACUGGGGAGUGUAUGUCCUGAAACAAACGCUUGGGGAAGUACAGUGGUGAGAACCUGCUGGGGAUUGAAGAAUCCAACACUCUGAUCAGCUCUGCAGGGAUAAGACACCGGAUUCGUCUGUUGGCGACUUCACUGGGGAAGAUAUUCACGAUCAUCUGCAGGGGAUUUUAAGGAAAUGCCCCGAGGGUAUCUGUUCUGAAUAGACGAUCCAAAGCACUUAAAAUUUACAGCAAUUUUAAAUGUUUAUUAAGCAUGUACCUGUAAAGCCCUUAUGUGUCAUGAUGCAAUGUUUAUCAAAAAUUCGGACGUCAUUUUUGCAAACAAAACAGUAAAAUGAAAAUGAAAACAGAGAUAUACUGAAUAACAUGAUUUUAUUGAUUGAAUGGCCUCUGAAUAGGCAUUUACAUCAGGAAGCAAUCCCUGGAAAGAGGUAAUCGCACAAAAGAUAAAAACAGAAAUUAAUCUAAUGGCAAUGUGAAAUGGAUUUCUAUUGGGUUCCAAUUCUGCUAUGACUUGCCCGUCUUCAAGAUCCUCCAGAUGAUCAGCCUUCUGAAAAGGUGAUUGGACUGUUUCCUACCUUUCGAAAAUUUCCAGUCAUCGACAUGAGAUGAGAUUCAGAACUAACUCAGAACGCAGUCAUUCGCUUAAUCCCUAACUUUUGCCUGGAUCGCCCUUUUCGGGUUUUCAAUCCACCGGGAUACCCAUUUUUGCCUAAGUUGCCUUUUCAGGUUUUCAACUUACCGGGUGUACGAUCUUUUCAUUUUUAAUCCCUAAUUUUUGCCCGAACCUUUUCAUUUUCUUGGUUCGUCGGGAUGCCCAUUUUUGCCUGGACUAUUCUUUUUACUGUCCAGCGGGUCUAUUUUAUGCGAAGUAUUUUUUAACUGCGUCUGAGUUCACAGGGGAAGUGAAGUUUUCACCAUCCAUAGUUGCAAGCAUUAAGGCCCCACCAUCAAAAACCUUGGUGACAAUAUACGGUCCAUCAUAGUUAGGAGUCCACUUGCCCCUGUGAUCUGUCUGAGGAGGAAGGAUCCUUUUCAACACUAAAUCUCCGACUUGGAAACAACGAGGACGCACUUUCUGAUCAAAGGCUCUCUUCAUCCGACUCUGAUACAACUGCCCAUGACAAAUGGCUGCCAUUCGCUUCUCUUCGAUAAGACUCAACUCAUUGAACCUUGUCCGAAUCCAUUCAGCUUCGUCUAACUUGACAUCCAACAAGACUCUUAGAGAAGGAAUCUCCACUUCAACAGGUAGGACUGCUUCCAUACCAUACACAAGGGAGUAAGGGGUUGCCCCGGUCGAUGUACGUACUGAAGUGCGGUACCCAUGCAAGGCGAAAGGUAGCAUCUCAUGCCAAUCUCUGUACGUGACGACCAUCUUCUGCACAAUCUUCUUUAUGUUCUUAUUUGCCGCCUCAACAGCGCCGUUCAUCUUAGGGCGGUAAGGGGAAGAAUUGUGAUGCUGAAUGUUGAAGUUCUGACACAACUCCUUCAUCAUUUUGUUGUUGAGAUUAGAACCAUUAUCAGUAAUGAUUCUUUCGGGAAUCCCAUAGCGACAAAUGAUUUCUUUCUUGAUGAAACGGGCAACCACAUGUCUGGUGACAUUCGCGAACGACGCUGCCUCGACCCACUUGGUGAAAUAGUCGAUGGCAACAAGGAUGAAGCGAUGCCCAUUGGAAGCAGUCGGCUCAAUCUUUCCAAUCAUGUCAAUGCCCCACAUGGCAAACGGCCACGGCGAAGACAUCACAUUCAGAGGAUUCGGCGGUACAUGCACCUUAUCAGCAUAAAUCUGGCAUUUAUGACACUUCCGAGCAUACUUGAAACAAUCUGAUUCCAUGGUCAUCCAAUAAUAACCCGCUCUCAACAAUUUCUUAGCCAUUGCAUGUCCGCCGGCAUGAGUACCGAAGGAACCUUCAUGAACUUCCUGCAUUAACAUGUCCGCCUCGUGUCUGUCCACGCAUCUGAGCAAAACCAUGUCGAAGUUCCUCUUAUACAGCACAUCGUCUUUGUUCAAGAAGAAACUGCCUGCCAAUCUUCUCAAAGUCUUUCUGUCAUUGUUGGAUGCCCCUGCAGGGUACUCUUGAUUCUUCAGAAAGCACUUGAUAUCGUGAUACCAGGGCUUGUCAUCGACUACCAGUUCAGCAGCAAACACAUACGCGGCCCUGUCAAGGCGCAUCACAUCGAUCCUGGGAGCAUGGUUCCAACGAAUUACCUUGAUCAUGGAGGAUAGAGUAGCAAGUGCGUCUGCCAUCUGGUUCUCAUCACGAGGUAUAUGAUACAAUUUUACUGUUGUGAAGAAAGUCAACAGUCUUCUCGUGUAAUCUCUGUAGGGGACCAGAGUGGGCUGGAGAGUAUUCCAAUCACCAUUCACUUGAUUGAUCACCAGAGCUGAAUCUCCGAAGAUGUCCAGAGUCUUGAUUCUCAGAUCAAUGGCUUGCUCAAUACCCAAGAUACAGGCCUCGUACUCAGCUUCAUUAUUUGUGCACUCAAAAGUCAAACGAGCGGUGAAAGGCAUGUGGGCACCUUUCGGAGUAGUAAUGACAGCGCCAAUUCCACUUCCUCUAGCAUUGACAGCCCCAUCAAACAACAAAGUCCACUUUUCGUUUGGAUCAGGUCCCUCCUCAACAACUGGCUCUUCACAGUCUUUCAUCUUGAGGAACAUGAUGUCUUCAUCAGGGAAUUCAAACUUCAUCGGCUCAUAAUCAUCAAUCGGCUGCUCGGCAAGGUAGUCUGACAGAAUACUCCCUUUGAUGGCCUUCUGUGACGUGUACUGAAUAUCAUACUCUGUUAAAAUCAUUUGCCAACGAGCGACCCUUCCGGUGAGAGCUGGCUUCUCGAAUAUGUAUUUCACUGGAUCCAUCUUAGAAAUCAACAAGGUAGUAUGGUUCAACAUAUACUGCCUCAGUCGGCGAGCAGCCCAGGCCAAAGCACAGCAAGUUUUCUCAAGCUGCGAAUAUUUGAUUUCACAGUCGGUAAACUUUUUGCUAAGGUAGUAUAUGGCAUGCUCUUUUCGACCAGACUCGUCAUGCUGUCCCAAUACACACCCCAUCGAGUUCUCAGUCACUGAUAGGUACAUUAUCAGAGGUCUCCCAGGAACUGGAGGUAUAAGGAUCGGAGGUUUCUGUAGAUACUCUUUUAUCUUCUCGAAAGCCCUUUGACAAUCUUCAUUCCACCUGAUAGCCUGAUCUUUCCUCAGCAAUUUGAAAAUUGGCUCACACGUGGUUGUUAGGUGAGAGAUGAACCUUGCAAUGUAGUUCAACCUCCCUAAGAAACUACGGACUUGCUUCUCUGUUCUUGGCUCUGGCAUUUCCUGUAUCGCUUUUACUUUGUCGGGAUCCACCUCAAUCCCUUUUCCGCUAACAAUAAAACCCAGCAAUUUUCCCGAUCUCACCCCGAAAGUGCACUUGUUCGGAUUAAGUCUCAGUUUGAAUUUCCUCAAACGCUCAAACAGUUUCUGCAAAUUCACCAAAUGUUCUUCUUCUGUCUGAGAUUUGGCAAUCAUAUCGUCCACAUAAACCUCGAUUUCAUGAUGAAUCAUAUCAUGGAACAGAGUCACCAUAGCUCGUUGAUAUGUUGCUCCGGCAUUUUUCAGACCAAACGGCAUCACCUUGUAGCAGAAGGUGCCCCAUGGGGUUAUGAAAGUUGUCUUUUCCAUGUCUUCUGGUGCCAUCUUGAUUUGGUUAUAGCCAGAAAAGCCAUCCAUGAAGGAGAAUACCGAGAACUGAGCUGUAUUAUCCACCAAAACGUCGAUGUGAGGUAAUGGGAAAUCAUCUUUAGGGCUAGCUCUGUUCAGAUCCCGGUAGUCGACACACAUCCGUACCUUUCCAUCCUUCUUAGGUACUGGGACGAUGUUUGCAACCCAUGGCGGAUAAUUGGUGACUGCUAGAAACCCUGCAUCCAACUGCUUUUGCACUUCUUCCUUUAUCUUGACAGCCAUCUCUGGUCUUGUUCUUCUGAGCUUCUGCUUGACCGGAGGACAACCUUCUUUGAGAGGCAAGCGGUGUACCACGAUGUCUGUGUCCAGCCCAGGCAUGUCCUGAUAAGACCAGGCGAAGAUGUCAACGUAUUCUUGCAGCAAUUCAAUCAGCCCUUUCUUCACAUUAUCUUCCAAAGCAGCCCCUAUCUUGAUUUCUCUCUUGGCGUCCUCGGUGCCGAGAUUAAUCACUUCAACAGACUCUUGAUGCGGUUGAAUAACCCUUUCCUCUUGUUUUAAUAACCUGGUAAGUUCUUCAGGGAGUUCACAGUCUUCAUCACCCUCUUCUUCAGCUUGAAAGAUUGGAUUUUCAAAGUCGAAGCGAGCCAUAGCAGAACCGUUAUCAAUAGGAUCCGGUGAUGUGCAUCUGCAUGAGUGAUGGUAUGUGCUUAUGAGUGUGAACAAGAAGUGAAAACUAAACAAAACAUUGCCUUUUUUUUAUUUUGAAAAACUGCAAAAAUAGAAAGACAGGGAACGAAAUAUUUGAAUGCAAAAAUACGUCCUUUAUUUAUGAUAAAAAUGCAAGUGUCACAUAGAUGGGCCCUACAAUGAGUCAUUACGCCCUGGGCGGAACGUAAGACUUGGAUAUGCAUGAAUAAACAAAGAAAAUUACUCUUCAAGAAGAGUGACUUGGAUAAUCUCUUCAGAAGACCAAUUGUUGAUGACUUCACCCGGGAUCCUCGGACGCACCCAGUUGUCGAUGUCACAAUCACUAUCCCCAUCUUCUUCGUUGACUGCAGAGACUUGACCAUACUGAAUGAUGCCAGCACUGGAGAAAGUGAUCGGCCCCUGAAGUGUUGUAGAAGUCAAAACUGGCUGAUACCCAAUCCCGAACUUAUCUUCUUUCACUGGUAAUUCCAACAGACGCCCCCAACCGGGAGCAACACCUGAAUCCACCACGGCCCGUGCCUGCUUAAAGGAUGAGAUAGAGGCACCCGCUUUAACCUCUUCCACCGGAGUUGCAUCCUUGAUUUGAACUGACUCAAAAGCCUGACACAGAGUCUCAUGAAUUUCACCUUCUACUUCUACAUACUUGAAUGUAGACAGGUUACUGACCAGGAUGUCCUCCUCACCACAGACGGUGAUAAUUCGUCCGUUGACCGGAAACUUAAUCUUCUGAUGUAGAGUUGAAGAGACUGCCCCAGCAUUAUGGAUCCAAGGACGACCCAGCAGGCAACUGUAGGAAGGACUGAUAUCCAUCACGUAGAAGACAGUGUUGAAGGUUUGUGAUCCAAUCAGAAUUGGCAAUUCUACCUCUCCAAACACCGAUCUCUUAGAACCAUCGAAGGCUCUCACAAUAAGAUCUGAAGGUUUCAAGACCAAACCCUCUACUUCUAACCUCGACAGGGCUCUCUUGGGUAGCACAUUGAGAGAGGAGCCUGUAUCCACCAGAACAUGCGAUAGCACGGUGUCUCUGCAUUCCAUCGAGAUGUGCAGAGCCUUGUUAUGAUUGCGUCCGGCUGGUGUCAAGUCAGAAUCGGUAAAACCCAACCCGUUGCUUGCAUGCACAUUGGCGACGAUCCCUUCUAGUUGGUUUACCGAGAUUUCUUGAGGUACAUAUGCAACAUUAAGAACCUUCAGAAGUGCCUCCCUGUGUGCCUCCGAACACAACAGGAGUGAGAGAAUGGAUAUCUUGGACGGAGUCUGAAUCAACUGAUCGACUACCUUGUAGUCGCUUUUCUUUAUGAUUCUCAGAAGCUCGUCCACAUCCUUUGCAAAAGUGGGCUCAGAACCAUCUUGGGGUGCAGAGGUACCCUCAUUCACGACUUGCUUGCCUUUGGUUUUCGCCACAGCAUCAGCAUUAUCAGCUUGGGUAACCGGUGGUGAGAACAAUCUACCACUCCUGGUGAAUCGGCCGAUUCCACCGACAUUAUCCACUGCGGGACCGUCAAGUUCAGGCUUCUGACCCUCUUCUACUUUCAGUGGCCGUUCCACCUUAUGAUCGUGCGUAUACACGCUCCCCCCAUAAUGCCACGGAAUGGCCCUUUCACUGGUGAAAGGUAAAGGACCAGGGGUUGUGAUGGUCAUAGUAGAUCGUCGCACUGGUGGCACGGGUUGCGCUUCUGGCACACUGAUCUGAUUAGUUGGGUAGAAAAUAGUGAUAGUAGCAAUAUCACAGUCGUACUCGGAAAUCUCAUUCAUUGAAAUGCAAGCAUCCGAAACAUCGGAAUCAAGUUCAAUUACAUCAGGAUCAACCACAUUGGAAAAAAUAAAUACAUCAUCAUGGAUUACAGAAUCAGUAGGAACAACAUCUGCGAAUUCAUCAGUAGCAUCUUCAAACCCUUCUUCCUCAACCCCUUCCACAGACUCUUGGACAGACAAAUCUUCAACCUGGAGGAUACCUUUGUCGAGCAAGGCCUGGAUACCCUGCUGUAGCUUCAAACAACCUCCACUCUGAGUGGCACAAUCCAAACAACCCUUCCCACAAUCGGGGAAAACAUCGGCCUUCAGCAAUCAUCCUUUGAUAUCCAACAAUGGAGUCUUCAACUUCAACACAUCCUUAAUGGACUUGGCUUUUCCUUCCAUCAUAUUAAUGUUUGCACUACCAUGUUGCGGCAUGGGAUUGUUGACGACAUUAGGAGCCGGUGCAAGGUUGAUGGCUUUUGAAUCUAUGAGGUCCUGAACUACGUGCUUAAAAGCUUUGCAAUUCUCAAUGUUAUGGCCAAGUGCCCUAGAGUGGAAGCUACACCUAGCGUUAGCGUCGUAACCCACCGGAAGUCUACCAACAGGAGGAGCCAGAGUGAGCAAUUGUAUAAGUUGUAGUUGUUGAAGACUAGAAAGCAACUGAGCGUACGACAUUGGAAGGGUGUCGAAACGCCGGUCCAUCAUCCUUUGCCUCUGUUGAUAAGCGGGUCUGUUACCCGGUUGCUGCUGCUGUCGAUACUGAGCUGGUUGACGUUAUGAUUGUUGUUGUUGUAGUGGCGCUGCAGCUGGAAUGGUCACAGCCGCCACAUACGGUUGCUGAUGAUAAUUCUGAAAAUUAUUCCUCCGGUUAUCCCUGUUCUGAUAAGAAGAUAUGGAAUUUGCAUCCCCUUCUCUCCUCUUCUGUCCCUGAAUGAACGGCUUCUUCACCCCUGAUGAGGAUCCACCUCUACUCUGGCUCUUAUAGGUCUUUAGGUAAUUCUCCACCCUUUCUCCAGUAGAGACCACAUCAGCAAAGUUGGAAGCAUUGCACCCCACCAGACGCUCCAGAUNUUUUCCUCUACUGAAACUUCAGUAUUUAUAGACUGAUUUUCGUGGGUAGUGGGCUCAAAUGAGGGAGACCCAAGUCCAAAAAAAUUUGUUAUAUUUUAUUUAUUUAUUUAAUUAAUUUUAUUUAUUUAUUUAUUUAUUUUUAACUUCUUUUUUUUUUCGUUUUUUUUUUUCAGGAAAAAUGAAGGGUAAAAUUUGGGGUAUUACAGCAAUCUAUGCAUUUCUUCUCCAAAAUGAAUGAAUUUGAGCUCUUUGGAAAGGUGAGAUCAAGAGGAACAAAUUUCAUGUUCAACAUUUUUUUAUUUGGAGCUUGGAACUUGGAGAAAUUUGAGGUGGAAGUUUGGAAAUUUUUGACAUAUCAAAUUUUUUCUAAGUGUCAAGCCAUAUGUCUCAAUAUUCCACCUUGCUUAACUUUUUAUAGGAGCUUUAAAUGAAAACAAUGUCUAAAUAAAAGUUGUAUAUCUCUCAAAUACCUUCAAAAUGGUCACCAAUUUCGUGUCAUUUGGAUUUGAAAUGAUAGAGUUAUUCAUUUUUUAAGUUUGGAAAAAUCACUUGAUCAAUGGUAUAGGUCAAAAGUGACCUAUAAUGUAGCCUCAUAUCACAUGCUCAAAAAAGUUAAAUUAGCUCCCACUCCAAACAUCAAAGUUGAAUUAGAAAUAUUGAUUGUGAAACUUGUAAAUCUUUCAUCUCAUAACAAUUGAGCAAGUUAUGGCCUUGGGAAGUUGACUUUCAAAUUAGGGUUUAGACAAAAUGACCUAUAAUGUUUCAACAUAGAAAAUGAUUUUCUUUAUGGCCUUGGGAAGUUGACUUUCAAAUUAGGGUUUAGACAAAAUGACCUAUAAUGUUUCAACAUAGAAAAUGAUUUUCCAAGAAAAACUAGCUCUAUGUAUCAACAUGAAAGUUGUUUGGAAUGUAAUUUAGAUUAAGUUUUAUCUUGGAAUCAUUUUUCAUAUGGGGAAAAUUGUAAGAGAUAGGGUCUAGGGAGACCCAGUUUUGGUCAGAUGAAUCCAUCUGGCCAACCACCAUCAGCCAACUUGCUAAUUUCCAAUUAUCUUGACUUUCUUGGCUCAUGGUAGAUCAUAUAUGCAUAAGAUGAUUAAUUUUGAAGUGUAACUUGAGAAAUUUGAUCAAUUGGUAAGAUAGCUUAUUGAAGAAGUUACUUAAGAUACCUAGUCGAACUAGGGUUUCCAAGGCAAAUCACCCUCAAACUCUUGAAGAAAACUUGAUCAAUAUAACAUGUAGAUAUCAUUGGGACUAAUAUAUGAUGUUCAUAACCAUUAUUUAAUCAAUUAUUGGUUGUGCUCUUUGUUCAUGAGGGUCUCAAACCCUAGAUGUGAACUUGAUGAAUCAAAUGAGAUAAGUGCCCUACCUACAAAAGAGUUAGGCAAACACAAAGACAUAUUUUUGGUAUUUUAGUUAGUAAAAUGAUAAUAUACAAGUAUGAUAUAAUCACAAAGUGUUUGGUGAUCUCACCCAAAACAAACCCAAUGAAAAAGGGGUAAGGAGGCUGCCAAGGCAUGAUCUCAAUGCUAAUGCUUAUGAUGUAAUUGCAUGAGGGAUCUUAGGGUCAAAAUUAGGGUCUUACAUGGAAGACCUCUUUAUAAACAACAUUUAUUGUUGAUUGCUUGACAUUAUUUUGUUCAUCAUGAACCAAAAUCUUGAUUCCUUUCUUAGAAAUAACCCUUGAAAUUUCCACAUAUAGUUGGUCGUGACUAAAAACAUCUCGAGGCAAGUAUAAACCCACCCAAUCAAGGGAUUGUCCUUAUGAUUUAGUUAUGGUUAUUACAUAUGAGAUAAUAAUUGGGAAUUGUCUUCGAUUCAAUUUAAAUGGCCAUGGAGAUUGUGAUGGUAACAUAUCCAUACGUGGUAUGUAAAUGAUGUUUCCAUGACCUUUACCACCCAUUAUUCUUGCUUCAAGGACAUGGUUCGCCAUCUUAGUCACAAUUAAACGUGUUCCGUUACACAAACCAUCUGAUUGAUCAAGAUUCCUCAUUAGCAUUAUAGGAGUUCCUAUAUUCAAUUUAAUUUGAUGUUCAGGUAAGCCCGAAGUUCUUAGAGUGCUCAGAAAUUUUGGACUUAGUAGUUCUAUAACGUCCAUGUCAUGUAUUUCCAAUAUAUUUAUUGAGUUAGAGAUGUAGUAGUCUUUUGCCUCGCCUAAAAGGAAUUAAAUUAAAUUCGUUAAGAAAAAGAAUACAUUUUAAAGACAUAUGAAUGAAAUUGGUAUAUGAGAUAAUGUACCUAGCAUUAGAGCAAGCACAUGUUCAUUGAUUUUAUCAACAGUUUCAAUUGUUGUUGCUAGAAUAACUCUAUUUUUGAGAUAAUCAUAUGAGUGGUAGUUAUCCAUAAAACUCGGAUAAGUACUCUCCAUAAUUGUUGUAAUUGUAUCAUCAAAACUUGAUAUUAAGAUUUCAGAAGGAAUAUCAAACUCAGUAUAUCCAUCAUUAGGUUCUGAAAGUUUUCCCUCCCUAAUAUUGAGCAACCAUUUUGAAAAUUGUUCAAUUUCAAGACAUUUGGUUGGGUUUGAACCACUUUGAAGUCUCAUAUUUCUUGUAAGUGUAAGCACCUCACAAUUAUUCCAAAUGUAAGAAGCAUUCAAUGAACUGCGUACAAUAUCUGAAUGGGUUCCUCUUGGUACACCAGGAAGAAUUUGUCUAAAAUUACCUCCAAAAACUAUGACUUUACCACCGAAUAUGGAACUGGAAUUAGGACUAUUACCCAUAAUGUCUCUUAGUGUCUUAUCAAGAGCCUCAAAAAAAUGUUUGGGAGCCUCAUCCUAAAUUAUCAACUGUGUUUGUCUCAUCAUUUCUGCAAGAUCAUCCUUUGGUUCUAUGUUGCAAACAUAAUUAUCUAAAGUAGGUACGAGAAUUUUGAACUUGGGAUGGGCCAUUCUCCCUCCAGGGAGCAACAUUGAUGCAAUUCCGCUUGAUGCAACGGUUAUGACAAUUUGAUGUUUUAAUCUCAAAUAACUUGCAAGAGUUUGCCACAUAAAUGUUUUUUCCAUUCCCCCAUACCCAUGCAGGAAGAAAACACCACCUUUUUAUUCUGUGACAACAUUGAUGAUUUUAUUUAAAAUAAUGUUUUGUUCACCUAAAAAUAUUGGAAUACAAUUAAUAAUUAUGGUGAAUUAAAUGGCAAGUAUUAUCUUGAAAGAAACAUGUAGUUUCAAUGGCAUUGAUGCAGUACUGGAAGUUUAAAACAUUAAAAGCCAAUAAUGAGAAUAAGUUGUAGUAAUAUUAGUUAGAAUUAACAAUUGUAUAGAAACAAUACCGCUAUAAAUAUAAUUGUAAUAUUCUCAUUACUUGUUAGUGAUGCAAACAAUUGUAGGUAUAUAAUAGAGAAUGUAAAAUAAUUGGAAAAAAUAUGAUGGGAAGUAACAUAUAAAUACGGUUCAGAUAUGGAAAUUUCAUGUAACAACCUGUAAGUGAUGCAAACAUAUUUGCAAAUUCCAUUUUAAGUUCAGCUACAUCGUAAUUUUGUUCGUCGCAAAUCAACUGAUUACCAAGUUGUUCCAAAACAUAUCCAUUCGGAUAUGGAAUCAGACGGAAAUCCUUCAAAGUACGUUGAUUUGUUUGCGAUAUCUUUUCAACUUCAAGUAAUGUCAAAUUUUGAAGUUCUUCGUCAUUUAAUAUAAGUCCUACAAUAAGAACAUAGUUUUGCAUUAGAAGUUGUUUUUCAUAAUCUAUAUACUCAUACGUCGACGUAAUUAAAAGUUCAAUGAUGCAAUGUAGGUAAAAUUUUGUACCUGAAUUGCAAGACAAAAUAUGUUGUUCAUGCAAAAUACCAUCUGAUAGCCAUGUCCAGGUAUUAUUCCAAACAUGACAUGGUCUGUUCAUUGUACCGAACAAUAACAUAAUGAUAAAUAAUUUUCUCAAAAAUCUUUCUGACCCCCAUUCACUUGCUUCCUUUAUAGCCAAAAUAAAUUCCUUGUCAUCCUCAAGGAACCCCAUUGCGAAGCACGCAUGUCUGAAGGUAAAGUAUUAUGUACCACCGACUUUACGAAUGUCCUCGUAAGUUGUUGGUCCUUUAACAACUGUUAGCAUCAUUCUUAAAAAGAAUAAUUCCACUGUUGUAGGUGGAACCCAUAUUAACCUGGAAAUAGUAAAACCUUUUUUACUUGGUUUCCAACUUCUAGUUAUCUUAUCAUAAACAAACUUUGAUAUAAACUGGGUAUAUGUGAGGGUUGUAGCAUCUUCAAACUUUUCAUUGGCAAUCAUCCAUGCUGUAAACAUCGACUCAGUUACACUUGCUUUUUCAAGGACAUCUUCCAUUGUGGCAUGCUCCGUAAAAAAAUAGUCUUCUCUCCAAUCAGAUGGUAAAAUAUACGUUCCACGACAGGUUUUCAUGCAUGAAUCUUGAAAGAGAAAAUCCUCCAACAUGCACCACUUGGUGAUACGUAACGUCAAUCAAGAUAUUGUUGAAUUUCAUCAAUAGCCCCACCCGAUGUAGAAUUUCCUCCCUUGGCUUGAACAAUAGAAACAACAAUUCUAUCAAAACCCUUAUGAAUAUAUUUAAAUAAGUACUUAAUGGUUGAACACUGAUUUCAUCAUUCCAUAUUUAUGUGUCCUUGAAACUUCAACAACAACCUUUUAUUGUACGGCAUGACAUGUCUGUUAUCUUGAGAAAUUUCGUUUUUGACAAUUUUGUGGGUGUUUGACCGUCUUCUAUAUUGAGGGAAACCAUAUGAGUCAACGACUGUGGUUUCAAUGAACUUUUUUGGAUAGAAUUUUGAACAUUUUCUGUUUUUCAUGCAUGGUGAUGAUAAUCUAACCAACCCGCAUGGGCCAUGCAUCAUAUGUUGCUUCACUAUUUUAUAUAGUCGUGGAUGUAAAUCGGGGUUAGGAAUUUUACAUGAAAUGAAUUUGUCAAUAUCAGUAGGGUUCAGAUACUUACUUUGAGGGUGAAGGAAAAUGAGAAUAUAGGCAUGUGACAGGCCUCUUUUUUGAAACUCAAUUGUAUAUAUAACUGUUAUGAAAUGUAUGAAUAUGAUUAGUGAAGGUGGAAUAUUAAAACAUCAAAAAAAAAUGUAUAUGUGCAUUUAAAAUAUGGCAGUUUGUAUGAUACAAAUUUCAAAGUUAUUUAAUGGAAAAUGCAUAGUGUUACCAUAACAUUUCUAAAGUAUGUUGUCAUACUGAAGCAAUACUACAUGAGUACUAUAAAUUGACAAAAUUUUAAAAUAAUGUUUAUAUUAUAAAGUGAACAUGCAAUAGAAAAAGUUAAAAACAGUAUAAUAAUAUAAGUGUUUUCGUAUGCAUUAAUCAUUAUAGUAAUUGCAUAGUUGCAAUAUUGAAAAAUUAUGUGAAAUAUAGUUGUGGUAAUAGUGUGAAUGUUCAUAUACUAAUAAUGCAAACAAAAGAUUUUGGAACAUUGAAACCAGUUAGAAAAUUACUCACAUGCUAACACCCGGCCAAGUAUAUGUCCGCGUGUGAUAUAAACCAUCAAUUCAUCAAAUUUGAUUUUGAACACUCUCGAUAUAAUAUCAAGACGAUCAUGAGGUUUUAAUUUGUAUUUUACACACUCUCUUGUGAUUUCAGGCCAAUUGGGAUUAAAUGUGAAUGUAAAAACAAAUCAGGGAACCCAACUAUACUUCAACUAGCCAUACCAUCAAAAUAAAGUUGAUCCAUAUAUCGGUUGCUUCCAAUAAAUGAUGAAGGAAGAACAACUCUUUUUUCAUUUUUGGUAUGUCUGCUUUGACUGGGGUUUAUGUCAUUUUCUUUAAGUUUGUUAUAUUUCCCAACCCUCAAUUUAGAUUGAUUUUUCCUUAGCCAAUUAAGUCUCUCGGUUUCCAUCAUUGUGUAUCCAUCAACCAAAAAUUGAUGAAAUAGUCUUCGUGAUGACAAAAUUGUUGUAGCUUCACUUUUUCUUUGUUGAAAUCUAAAUGAAAGCCAUUCCAUAAUAGUUUGAUGGUUUCUUUUUGUCACGAAAAUUUCACCUUGGUAUGCAUGGAGAAUAUUAUCUCUGUAUCCAUCCUCACCAAAUGGAAAUAGCAAUGGAUAUUGAAAAGCAAGGUAGCAGGAUGAAACUCAUCAAUUAUUUGUAAAUUACCUCCACGUGCCUGAAUGAUGAUAUCUCGUUUGGUACCUGAAUCUAUGUCACCAACAAAAAAGGUUGCAACUUCAAAAAUUAUGGGUUUAUUAUAAAGGUGACCAUCCGUUAGACGAUCAGAAACUAUUCUCAAUUUCAAAUCGUUAACAUUCUGAUGUUGUAGCAUAUCACGUGCCAUCCUAAAAGCCUUUGCAUGAAUAUUUUGUUGUCCAACAUGAGACUCAAAUUUGUUACAAUUUCCCUGUCAAUAUGUUUGUUAUCCCUAUAUAAGAAUUAAUAAAUUGAUUUAGUAUGAUACAUAAUGAGAUCAAUAAAUGCCAUUGUAAAAAUUAUGUUGUUAACGUAUGUACUUGAAACAUUCCAUUCGGUUUUGAAUUUCCUUAUCAGUGUCGAAUAUAUACAAUUGUGCAUAUUUUGGUGGUUAACCUAUCUCUGAAAGCAUCGUCCAUAUUCUAUGGUAGGUCUGUGCAUGAAGUCUUAGUGUUAGGGGACCAUAAUAUUUUGUAAACUUGGUGUCAAAUUUCAUACCAGGUGAAGUGAAAGAGCACAUAGCAUUAUAAGUCAUUGUGUUGGCUUGAUCAUUCUUUGCAGGAGUUGAUGCAGGGUCGAAAAGUAGUUUUUGAAGAAUGACGUGUGGGUCACCAAUCAAUGGUAGUUUAACCUUUCCUCCAUGACAACAACAUUCAAAUUUAGGUAACAUCGUAUUCCUUGAUUUACUCAUGCGUUCACCAUACCACAUGCAAGCAAGACAAUAUUGGCAUUCCCAAACAGGAUCUCUAAUAUCAAAGAAUUAUGUGUUACCAUGAAAUGUUUAAAAAUUAUUGCAUAUACAUGAAAUUGAUAACUUCUAAAACUAUCUAUUGUACAAAAUGGUGUAUAAAAUGGUAUUGAAAUUUGAAGUAAUGGAAAACCUUGAAGAUGGUCAUCAACCAAAUAAUCAUCGUCAAUAUCCAUAUCACUGUCAGAACUGCCAUUUGAAGAAAUGUUUGACCCCAUAUCCGAGUCAUUUUCAUGGACAUAGGAAUUGGUUGAAUGGUUACUAUUAUGUUAUGGAAUAGUUUGAUUGAGUACGGAGUUGUUUAUAUAAGAUGUUUCAUGUGUAGUUGUUUGAGGAAGUGUAAGAGCGGAAUUAGAUGUUUCAACAGUGGUUGCUUCAAACUGCCUAAAUAGAUUAACUCCAAAAGGUCUAACAAAUGAGUUGGUUGUAGACCUACAAUGAUGUUUUGAAUGUUGAGUGCUAAUAAAAUUAGAAAUUGAACCAUGAAGUGGUGUUGUGUUUGAUAUUCCUACUGCUUGAUUUAUAUGUGGCUUGGAAAUUGCAUGGGGAUGGAUAUUUUAUUUUUCUGAAGAACUUGAAUGGAGUUUUCUAUUCAUUAAUGUCCAUUUUCAUUUUUUUCUAGCAGCAAAGACAAUAUUGUUGCUCGUAUCCAUGGUGUUUUAGUGAAAUAAAAACAAAAUGAACAUAACAAAAGUUAUAUGCUACUGGGUUUUUUGUAUAAUAUACAGUGAAAAAAAUAAUGGGACGACAAUGGCAUGAAAAAAAUGGCGCACAAAGUUCCCUCCCAAUCUCAAAUCAUCAAGCUAAUAGAAAUGAAGAUGACAAAAGCUGUGUACGACUUACUUUGUAUUUUAAUAUGAUAUACAUGUUAAUGCAAAUAAAUGAAUAUAUAUUAUUAAAAUUAGAAAACGGUUGAACAACAAAAGUGUGUGUGUACUUGUGUCAUGGUAGGCAAAUUCUUAAGUAAUUUAAAAUAUAAAUUGUUAUCUUUGGAUGUUCAGUAUGUUUUUCAAUGUUCCAUAUUAAACUAUUAUUUCUAAAAGAAAUUGUCUCAUCUAACAUGUCAAAUCAACGAUUAGUAUUGCUUCUGAUAUUACAAAUAUAUUCAACACAAUAAAGUUGCUUGUAACUUUCCUUUUGUUCUUUACGUAUACCACGUAUGUUCGUCACAAUAGAUUACCGUCGUUUUUUGUACGUUACCGCACCUACUCCCUCAUUCAGACCUUAUCAAACAUGCAAUAUUUUUCAGUUGUUUUUUCCACUUUUUGGAUUAGAUUUUAUGCAGAGCUACUAUAUGUUUAUUUGGGUAAGCAACCAAAACUUUAUUUCAAUAGGUUCUGCUAAAUUUUGUAUGAUUGUGCUAGUGCACGCGCAAUUGUAAAAUAUGAAAUUGUUUCUUGACGUUAAACUACUGUUGUUCCUAGUAUAAUCAUCCUAAAUAUACAUAACAAUGGCCACAAUCAUACUAUAGAUAUACUCAUAUAAGUAAUAAUCAAACAAAACAUAACUAAUAGGUAGGGGUGUUCGCGGUGCGAUUUGGGCGGUUUUGGCGAUAAAAAUCAUCCGAACCGCAAGAGAAAAAAGCAUGCGGUGUGGUUUGGUUCGGUUGGCUAAUAGAUAAGACCAAACCAAACCAAUGUCGGGUUUGGGUUGUUCGGUUGGUUCGGUUUUUAUAAUUAUUUUUUUUUGUGCCAUACAUACACCUAUAGAGAACAAAUAACUUUGUAUUUAGUCCAUUCAUAACAUGACUAAUACAUCAAAACUCAUCAUAUUUAGCAAAAUGUUCAUUUCAAUAUGACAAAAAAUUAGAUUAGACAAAAAUGGAUAAAAAAACAUAUAUAAAUAUAGUAUAAAAUAAUAUCGAAGACAUUAUAAUAAAAAAUACAAAAAUAUGAGAUGAGAGAUUAGAGAAGAUGAAAAAAAGAACAUAAGAUGCGAGAUUGAGAAGAAAGGUGCGAUACAAAUAUAUUAAAAGAGAAAAUAGUAACAUAAAGAUGAAAAUAAAGAACUAAGAGAUGACUUAUUAGAGUAGAAUAGGAAACCUACAUGGAAAAGAAGACAGAGAAUGUGUUGAUACUACUAUGAAGAUUUAAGGUUGAAAUUGAAACCCUAAGCAUGAGUAAGAGAAAAUCGUUUGUAAUUGUAAGGUUAAGCAUACUAGGUUGAUGUUUUGUUGGAUUGUGGGAUAAGAAAAUUAAUGUUGUAACAUAAUGCGGUUUGGUUUGUUUAGUUCGUUUGCAAAAUAAAACCGCAAAACAAACAAACCGUGCGGUUUUAUUAAAAAAUGACCCAACCGAAUCCGAACCAAAUGCGGUUUUUUGCGGUUUCGGUUUGGUUUGGUUUGGUUUGCGGUUUUCUAUUGGGCUGGUUUGGUUUUGAACACCCCUACUAACAGGUGUUAUAACCAAACUUUAAUAUAUAACCACAUAGUCAUGUUACUUCUACAUUACUAAUUAAAUGACACAUGAUGGAGGGAAUACAACGUCCUCAACAAAAAAACAUCCAUGAAAAUGCCAACAUUCAUAUUACAUUAUCCAAAAUACUAACCAUAUAGGGGUUCAUAGUACAUAUCUCACUUACAAUUUGCACAAAUACUAUUCAUUAGCUGCUACACAAACUAAACUUAUUAUUAGACAACCAACUUAGAACUUCAUGCAGCGACUUCACACCAUCACCUUUGACCUUACGCUCAAUCUAAAAACUAAGUUCACAAGUUCAACACGCUAACAACUAUUCUUCGUGCUGGUGGGUGGUGAAUGCUGAAUCCCACGAUGUCACCUUUUUUUAGGCCUUUCUUCUUGGCAUACUCGUACCAACCACGCCCAAUAAACAUUUCAACAUAAUAUUUCCUUUCUGAAGUAUGGACUUUACAAUCAUAGGUCUCCAUAGUAUCAACACCCACCAGUUCUGUGCUCCUUAGUCCAGUUAAGAAACAUUUCUUAAUCACAGAUUGGGGAAUUUUCUACAUAAUAACAUAAAUUCUUCCACACAUAUGUAUAUUCAUAUGUUUACAUAGAUAUAUCAUAGUACAAACAACUUUAUAUAUUACUAUUUAUGGAUACUAUAAUUUAACUUACAAGUACGUUUCUUUAAACAACCUUUUCAUCUUUGAUUUCCUUCUUCCAAACUACAAACCUAGGCUGGUUAGAAAGGUCUUCAUCACUAGACUCAUCACCAGUUAUGUUUUCAUCAAAACUGCAUUUACAAAAUAACCAUGAAAUGUCUUCUAACAUGUAUUGCCCCACUAUAUACAAAUAACCCCUUACAUUAUUAUACUUAGAACGCUUUAAUGUUUUUCUAAUAUUUAUUCACAUAAUGAAUUUCCUAAAAAUGAUAAAUCUUAGUAUCAAGAUAUUAUCAUAUCAAAUGAUAAUUCAAAGGAUGAUACUAAACACCUUUUACAUUGAUAAUACAUCUAAUCAAAUGAUACAUAAGCAAAGGAUAAUUUUUCAAUAUACACGUAAACUAACUUUUAUGUAUUAAUAAGGCUUCAACAGUUACAUGACACUACCACAUGAAUUCGAUAUAUGCGAUGGUGCCGCAUAAGUUGUAAUUCUGCCAAUCUUACCAUCAACAUUCUUUACCUUACCCUCUUCUUCACCGAAAUCAACUUGUUUUCCCUUCAGAUUCAUUGCUUCACCUUAGUUAAAUCCUUGCAUGAAACCCUUCAAAUUUACAUGUUCACCACCUAUUAUGUUUUCAACUUCAGCAACAUGUUUUCCUUUUGGCCCAUCUACAAGAUUUGAUGAUGAUCUCACAAUUGGUAAUACAGUAUUCCUAUCAUUGACGCUGCGACUGUUACAAAGCUCUUCAAAUUGGAUACCUCAUUCAACCUUCUUCUUCUCCAUGCCGAUUCAUUUUCAAUUUGAGAAAUGGAACUGCAAAAACCAUAUAUAACACAUACAUAAAUAGAUAAACAGUUAAACUAAAUGAUUAUGAACAUGCAAAUGAAAAAUCCCAAACCUCCCCUUUAACAUCUCAAAAGACGAAACUUUCUUCCCCGUAGACAUUGAAACCCUGCAGAGAAAGCAUGAAGUUUUUUCCUAAUCCUACUGUGACAAGGAGUUAUGCUUUUACACUUUUUCCCUACACGAUACCCAAGACUUUAUAUAUUAAACUUAUAUACUCACACUUUUCAUCUAGGUAACCCUACAUGCAGAUUUGGUAAUGGUUCCGUGUAGAGGUAAAGAAUAUUAGUAGUAUUAAGUAGAGUAUUGACACUUUAGUUGCAUGCACAGGUACACCUGCUACUAGCCAGACAAUGACAGUUUUUUAGGCAGUCAUAAUACUAAAAUUACAACUCCCCAAGCUUUUGUGUAGAUGUAUAACUCCCCUUUAGCAUGUAAAUAUAUAUGUAAUUUACCAAAAGCUGCUUUUCACCAUAAUGCAGUGUAGGAAAGUUACUUUAAUUACUUUGUAACUAUUGUUCUAUUUUAAACUUACUGAUGUGUGAAAAUGCUUUGGAAAUAGAAAAUUUUCAUGACCCUACAAUUUUUGUAAGGACAUUAAUUACAAAGUAGAAUUGUAGAAAAGUAGGAUUCCUAUAUAUCAUGAUUUUAAAACUUGGUAGGAUCAACUCAUGGAGCACCAAUAUUAUGAUUUUCACUUUUGACAACGUAGAUAAUGAGUCAUAUUGUUGGUAACCAGAAUGGUUUGAAGAUUAACAUAUAUGUGAAAUUAUGAGGACGAGAAGAAGUACACAUGCAACAUGUAUUUAGAUAUCUGAAAAAUUAUUAUUAAGAUAUUUGGGUGUGGAUAUUUGUAAGAGUGUGUUGAAAUAUAUUUAAUAAAUGUGAUCACUUCAGAAAUUAAUAUAAAACUCGACUUCAUUAGGGCAAUAGUAUAAGGAUCUAAUCUUCAUACAUAAUACAUCCAAAUUGUAUAUUACAAAAGACAUAAUUUCCACAAAAUAUGAAUUAACACACAUAGACAUUGAAUAUCAUAGGGACAUCAUAACAUUAGUUAUUUCUUCUCCAUAUUCACAUGCUUGCGACGUAGCCUAGUUGUCGAUUGUUCUCAUUUAACAAGUUCUUUCAUAGUGGCAGAAUAGCUUGCAGCAUGGACUGCAACCCUUUUCCCAGAAUUGAUUAGAGUAACUGGUGGUGUUGUUAUUGCCUUAACUAUUUCAUUGAUUGGAUUUACUGGUGGUGAUGUUGUUGCCUUGGCUUUUUCAGGGGUUGUAUAGUUUUAAACAUAAUUAAAGAUAAAUAUUAAUGAUCCACAUAAUAUAUAAAUCACCGGGUAUAUAUAUAUAUUAUAUAUAUUAAUAUACUAUAUUUAUACUAUAUUGACAUGUCAUAGCAAAUUAUUGUUAAAGAUGUGAAUUCAACCAUGAUUGCAGAUGGAUCAAAAGGUAAAAGUUGUGAAUUCAAUUUAGAGGUGAUUUCCAAAUCCUACAAAAUAACACAUUAAUUCCGUAAAGGUUUUUGUGUAUAAACAUAUAAAUACAGAAGUGCAUAUUAAGAUUAUGACGUUGUUGUUACAUUUAUGAUAUUUCAUUCCUCAACCAAUAUUGCUUCAUCAAUACUUUCCCUUAUCUAAAAACAUAGAAAUGUCAUGAGUUUUACAUAAUAGGGGAUGGAAAAUACGGAAACAACAAAGAGUUUGUACCAAGAUAAUGAAAUACCUUUUUAACUUGAUCAUCAAAGAGUUUAACUUCAAUGGUAGUAGGCUGAUGUAAAAAAAGAAAUUGGUUUAUAUUUGAAAUAGGCCGAACUAUAAUAAAAGCAACAUAUAAGAAUUUGUGAAAUACCUUAAAAAAAUUCCAUUGCGCUAAUAAUUCAUCAAUAGUUUCUUUGUCUCGUACGACCGCCAUGACACUUGCAAUUUUCCACCUUGGUUGCCAUUUAACUUUGAAUGCAAAUUCAUGCCCAAUUAAAUCAUCAAGGACCAAUGGAAAUUCAAGUGGGUCGCUAAUACCAUCAUAGUUUAAAUGAAAAUAAUAUAAAUAUAUACUGGAUAUGUAAUUAAUUGAAAAAUCAAAAGAUCAGAAUCAUUUAAGCAAACCUGGAACAUUGUUUGGCGGAGCUGAGAGGCGGAUAUUUCCAACAAUUCAUUACACCCACGAUCCCAAAACACAAAAAUGGUUGAAAUUCCAUUAUCAACAACUUCAACCUUGAUUUUGUACCUAUAAUGUUACAACCUAUCAUUUCAUACUUGCAUCAACCAUCAUAUGAAUUUGAUGUACUGAAAAGGAAAUACCUAUAAAUUUUGGUCUCGGUUGAAUGUCCAUCAGAACAUGUAUAUGGGGGAGAGGCUCCCUUAGCUACUCUUGGACAUUUACAACAUGCCAAGUAGUACCAACCAUUUCCAGUUGAUUUCAGUUUAUUUGUGGUUGCUACGGUAAUACACCAUGACAACUGGUUCAUGUGAUAUAAAUGAGUUAAUGGUAGAAAAUAAUAAUAACUAUGGAAGUAUUUUAAAUUUAAAACAGAAACAUUAAAAAACAUACAUCGGGAAGGUUUAUUAUAUCUCGCUGACAGAGAGGCGUAGAAUUUGACAUGAACUUAUCAUGUGAAGUCAUUUGAGAGCCAGAUGAGUUUUGUGACCACAAGUUAGAUUAUGUAGACAUAAGUUGACUUGAACUUCCAAUGUUGAUGUCCUUUAGCAGCCUUUUAAACCAAACAAUAGAAUUUUCAUGUUGCUGUCCAUUGAUAGCCUUUUAAACCAAAAAAACAUAAUAAAAUAUAUCCAAUAAAGCGGAUACAUAUAAAACAUUACCUAUUUUAAAAUUCAACUAUAUUCGGGACGUCUUCGUUAAUGAGCAGAUUCGUUAUGUUGUAGGUGUUCAAUACUGAAAACGGAUACUUUCCUAUUUGAAAAUAAACAUUUAUAAGUAAGAAUGACAUAAUGUUAUUUGAUUUAAUGUUAUUAACUCAAUAAGAAGAAGAAAGAUACCUUCGGCUUUAACUUUUGCAUAUUGUAACAAUAUGAUUGACGGACCACCGUCGUUGUUCAUUUGAAUGUAGUUCAUGAAUUUCACAGCAUAUGUCUCCCAAAGAGUACAGUUCAAUGUGUCAUUGCUUCACAUUUUAAAAGAUUACUUUAACAAAUUAUAUAGUACCAUAAGAAUAACAGUUAAAGUCGAAAUAUAAAAAUUGUCAUAAAAAUGAAUUAAAAUCGAGAACAUUUACACAAGGUCUUUCAAAAUUAGGUUCACUUGUUGCUUCUUGCUGCCAACACUCAUUUGUCUAUACCCAAUCUCUUAUACCAGUCCAAUAACAUCUAACGAUAAAGAAAUUAUUAAUCAACAACAUAUAUGGAGCAUCCAUAGUGAUCAUAUUAAUAUAAGCUACAAGUUAAAGCUGAAAAGAAAAACCAUAAAGUCUUACCUACUAAUAAAUCACUCUUCCAGUUCCUAGAAAUAGUCUCAGCAAACGGCUUGAAGUUCAACCUUUUACCAGGUAUUUCAUGCUUGUUUAUAUCAGAGACACGAGUACCAGGUGUAAAUCUUAUAACAUAAGGAUGUUCUGAGGUUUUGAACAUGCGAUCAUUAAUUCGAGGUAGGAAAUUCAUCACAGUAUAAGUGUUGUUAACCAAUAAAACUGAAUCAAAUGUUGCUUUCAAAUUUAUUGGUACUAUAACAUGAACAUUUGUGCCCUACAAAUAAAUUCGAAACAUUAGUUUCAUUUAGGUCAUUACCAAAAGAUAGUUAAAUCGAAAUACCCAUGUUACACAUACGUCUGCAUCAACAAAUAUAAGCUCAAUGUGCUCUUUAUCGUUAGAAAUUACAAUCCAUUUGUGGUGUACUUUUACUGCAACUUUCCAUAACUCUUUUGUCUAAUUAAUAUCAUCUAUUUUCUCAAAUGUCCUUGCCAUUAGUUUCAACCUUCAUUUUUCAUCCUGAUCAUUAGCUUCAGAAAUACAACCUCAAGUUAAACACUUAGUAUCAUAUACUACAAAACAAUGACAUCAGCAAAUUAAACACAACAUAUUAAGCUUUUCUGUAGAAAACAAUAUAUUUCAUACAUAAUACAACAAUAAAAUCAGCAAGAUUUUUAGUUUCAUAUACUUCAAAACAAUGAAAUCUAAAAAUAAAUAUACGAAGUUCAUGAAAGACAUUUCGUAAAUCAUACUUAAAGCAUGUUGACAAAAAAAACAGUAGACCAACUAUUUCAGAUGAAGAAGAAAACACAUAUGGUGGUUCAAAGUCCAUCAUGUUAAAGCAUGGUCAAUACUUUUUACAUUUACUUACCUUCGAAAUCGCGGAUUCAGGUGAAGAGAGACAAGAAAGGGACGAUAGAGAAGAUUCCAAUGAGAGAGACUACUGGAAAAAGUUGUUGUUGCAACAAUACCAAUGCCGGAGGGGAGAGAGGGAGAGAGAGAGAGAGAGAGAGAGAGAGAGAAAGAGAGGGGGGCAGUGAAUAUGAAUUCAUCAAUACAUUUUCAUUUGAGAGAGAGAGAGAGAGAAUAAGAUCAUUGGUAGUAGUGAUAGAUAUUUUGCAUUGGAACCCGCAAUCAGUUAACAAUAUACAAUUUAUCUAGUUGGUUUGAAACAAUAUAUUCAUAACAGCAUAAUAUAUGUGUACAAUUUCAAACUAAUUGCUAAUAAUUAUGUUAUUAUAUCAUUAGAAAAGGUUAUUUGGUUAGAUAAAGCAUUAUUUAAAUAUGAAAUGCCCCUAAUUCGAUGCAGUGGCAUUUUUGUAGGUAAGGGCGUAAAUAUUGAGUAAUAAAAUAUAUAUUGUUAUUUUAUCCAGUUUUUUUAAACGAUAGUUUUAAGUGGUCAUCACUCAGCAGUUCUCCUCCUUUCUACCAAGCCAGAGGAUAAUUAUACUCAUAAUGUUUCAAGAUAAGAAUUAUAGUAAUCCAUACAUAAACAACAUAAAUCAUAAAACCUACACCUCCAAUCAUUAUUAUAAAUAAAUUUAUUUUUAAAAAAAUAUAUUUAAUAAUUAAUGUAUCUAGUCCUUAUAACGAUUAGAUACAUUAAUGGUUAAAUAUACUAAAAAAGACAAAUUUAUAUAUAAUAAUGAUCAAAAGGUGUAUGUCACUAACAUAAACAAUCAGAUGGCUGAGACGUACCACAACAACCAAGGCUCUAUCAUACUCUUAAAAGCUUUUGCCCUCAUAAAGCUCAUGUCGAGACUGAGGAUAAGUUCAGUGAUACUCUUUUGAACAAAAUGUGAAAUUAUGUUUCCUCAAGGGACAGAUGUUGAACAUGAUGCUCCGACAACAGGUCCGACAAGAUACACCAGAAUCACUACAAUAACAAUUUCUAAAUGAUGGAGCAGAAAAGAAAUAAUCAACAUAGUCAAUUAUUUACCUAGUUUGGUAAAACUACACAUACGUCUGAGAGGCUGAGUCCACAAUCCAAGAUAGAAAAUUCACUAUUAGUAGCUUAGUACAAUUAGGCUUACAAGCAACAACAAACCCUAUGUUGCUCAAUGGAUCUUCCUAACACUAUAUGUCAUACCCCAAAAUUUACACUCUCUUUUCCUACCUUUUUUCUUAGUUUCCUUUGCAUACAUGGAAUCAUAUCAUGCAUCAUCAUAACUUUAACAUGACCAUUGCAUUUGAUCAUUGACUCACAAGCAUGGCCACAUUCUUUGGUUUGAUCUUAACAUUAGGGUUUUUUACUUUGAUUUACUUAUCAACUAACAAAAGCAUCAAUAAGAGAUGGUACUUGUUUGUUUCCUUGCUCAUAUAGGUGAUCAUGCCUCAAUUCAAGACAAAACCAAGGUCAUUUUGGUCAAGAAGGAUGCAAGUGUGGUUCAUUGGUUCAAAGGUGGUUCAUGUUUUUACUUUCACGCCACAUCACUCAAUAUUCAAGCCAUCCUUAAGAUCAUUCAAGCUUUAAUCAAGUUUUCUUCAAGGGGUGCUCAUUCCAUCAUCAAUUUGGCUUGGGAUGCAAGAUAAUUUCAAAUUUGCACAUGUUGGCACAAGUUUGGUUGACCUAAUUUGCAAGUGUUGCUUACUUUUGGUCCAACCCCCAUAACUUCUUCAAUUUUCAACCGAUUGACAAGCUUCUUUAAGCCAAAUGUUUCUAAUGAUUUUCUACAACUUUUCUUCAAGACUCAAGCAUCAAUUCAAUCCCUAAGGACCUCAACUUUGGAAAGGGUUAAGUUGCCAAAAUAGGCCAAAACCUUGUCGUGACCCCCAUUUGGCAUCCAUGCCAUUUCUAGCUCAAGCAUCCAUUUGGCAAACUUCUUUGUGCAUUUUUUAAAGCUCAUAACAAAGAUCAUUUGGCCCAAGUUUGGCUCAAAAUUCACGAGGGAAUCAAAAGUUAUGGUAUCAUGAACUUGGAGCCUCAAGAUGCCUAAGAAACACACCAAGAUUGUCUGACCAAAUGCUUGUCCUAGAAGACAUGUCAUGACCUUAACUUUCAACACUUUCCAUUUUCACCCCAUGCCUCCUUUUGAGUUGGUUCUUUUUGCAUUGGAUUCAUGGCAUUAAAGUGAAUAAAAGGCACAAAGAAAGUCACAAAAUGCACGAGUGGAUUCCAUUUGGCCUAGCUUCAAACAUGGCACUUUGAACUCUAUUUUGCACGAAGCCCAGAUCCUGCAAUUAUAUGUCUUUUCAUUUUGGGACCACUUUCACAUGUGCAACUUACUCGUGACACCAAAAUGCAUGCAAACAAGCUAAAAACGACCACAUUUCAUCAUUAAUUCAUGCUUUUCUCGCCUAUUUUCACACGAGCACCAUUUGAAAAAAUUUCAACCCUAGCUCACACGAUUUGAGAUUUAUUUGGCAUGUGUGAGCUUCCCAUUUCAUUUCCUAUAAAUAGGGGAGUGAUUUUCCUUCAUUUACAAGCUUGAAUAGGCAGAAAAUUCAUGCCUCAUUCAAACUCGAUAUCACUCAAAAACAAGUUUGUGGCUUCUUCGAUUCAAGCUCUUUUAACCUCAAAUCUUCGCCCAUAAAGCUUCAUCGGCAUCAUCUGAAGCUAACUGCAUCAUCACUUUGCCUUGAAACCUCUUGCACCGUACUUCCCAUUUCUGCCAUUGUUGACCUUCGAAGCUUCAACUGAAAAGAUAGUUAUGAGUUAAAUCCUUGAGCAAACAAGUUACCAGUCUUUUUGCAUUGUUCCACUGAUCAAAAUCCAUAUACUACCAUUCAUUUAUCUUUUGUAUUAGUCGUUUAAUUUUACUUUGAACUCUUAGGUUUCUUCGUGUUCUUGAGCAAAAUUCUCCCUACUUAGAGCCAAUCAAUGGCUCUGAUGCAAGGAGACAUGAACGAUGAUGUGUUGCGAAGCUAACUCCAUGUUUGGGUGUUGCUAAAAACACAAGUUCAUGAUUUGCAUAUAUCGAGCUAAAGGUUGAAGACGAAGUUGAACUACGCGUGCUUUGGUGCCAAGAUUCAAAAUCAACCAAUCACAUUGUACUAGCGCAUUUUUUUUAAUUUCUUGAUCGUUGGCGCCUUAAUUCAUUUAUUUUAUUUUUAUUUUAUUUCCUUUCUUUUCCAAUUAAUUUUUACUCAAUUCUAAUUCAAUUUGAUCCAAAUUAUUUACACAAGGUCUCUAAAAAUAUUUUGCAUCACAUAUAUUUUUCUCACACUUUUUUAAUCAUUUUUGCAUUUUUGGUUAUUUUUAUUUCUUUUUUCUUUUUAAUUUCCUUUUGCAAAUUUUUAAUCAUUUUCAAACCUUUUUGCAUCCAAAUUUUGUAAUCCAUUCAUGGGUAAUAUUUGGGACCUUGUGUAUUUUCUUGGCCAUUUAUUCAUUGUUUUGCUUAUGGUUUAGAAUUUUCUCUUUAAUCUCCCAUUUUUAAUCCUUUUUAUUUCAUUUUUAGUUCAAAUUUUGUCAUUCUUUUGACUUUGCUUGAGUGUUUACUUGGUUGAUGAGAUCUUUAACAUUUCAAACCAUUGAUAAAUGGUCCCUUGGUUGAUUCAAUCUUCUACAAUUCAAUAUGUUGAUAGAUGAUCAUUUGAUCAUAUUUCUUACACUUUGAGUUAGUGAUAGUUUAUCCCUUGGUGUAGCAUAUGUUUGAGUCCUUUGACUUGUUGAUAGAUGAUCCCAAGGUGAUGACUUGAAUUUGCCUUCUAACAUCUAAAAUCUAACUUCAAACCUCUAACACUUUACAUUCUUGUACCUUAGAUUCUUGCAGAUUACUUUUAUGUCUCAUUAUUCAUCACCUCACUUCAUACACUAUUCAUCUUGUCUUGUUCAUCUUAUGCUUCUUAUCUUGUGCUUGGUUUGCUUGAUAAUCUCAAUGAAUCAAAACAUGAUAAAAUGGAUAGACUUGAUCCUUAAGACCCAUGCUUGACUUGGAGUGAUGUUGAAGACUUCAGACUUUAGACUUAAGACUUAGACCUAUGCUUGAUCUGGAGUGACUUUGGACUCAUGGACCUCUUGAUCACUUACACCUUGUUCACCUGUUGAACUUUUGAAUUUAUGAUCUUGUCAUCUUGUUUAUUGUCCAUUGCCUUAUGCCUUUGUUUAUCACAUUUAUUUGUUUAGGUUAGCACACAUUAACGCACGCAUGACCUACUCUUAGGCUACCUAACAACGAGACCUAGACUUAGUACACUUUUUCACACACAUGGCUUACUCUUGGGUUACCUAAAAAUGAGACCAUUUUCUAGUUUUUUUAUGAUCAUGCAUUGUGUGUUUUAUCCAUCUCAUUCCCUUUGAUUUAGCUUAAUCAAAUCCCAUUUGAUCAACUAUAUCCUUUGACUUUGCACACAUUCCAUUUGUCUUUGUCAAGUGACCAUAAGUCUCUUGGUCACUUGAUGAGACUGGUCUCUAUUACCUUGGAUCUCAAUAUUCCCAACAAGUAUAAGACCUCAAGUUCAAGUCAAGGCAUCAACCAUCUGCCUCAUCCCCACAGAGAAUCCAUGAGAACCUAUUUCAAUAACUUGUCAGACAUUGACAAAGAUUACAUGUCACGAGCCUUAAGCAAUAGAGAAGGGGUGAGAGGGAGAAUUCAUAUCCUCGUUCUGAAUAUUUUAGGUGUGGGACAAAUGACCAAGUUGCUCGGAGUACUCAUCUCUAUUAAUAGACUUUAGUGCAAUUCAAGUCAAUUUACUAUCAAGUCUGCAACUAGACCUAUGGCUCUCCUUUCAACUACCUCUUGGUUUAAACACCAUCUCAAACUCCUUUUGGUUUAAACACCAUCUCAAUUUCCUCUUGGUUUAAACACCAUAAUUUGUUUUCCACAUUUUGGGUUGACACAUUCAUGGUUAUACACCCCUUUCUUGGUUUUGACACCACUUUCACCUUUCCGUUCUUGGUUAUGACACCACAAUUUGGGUUAAUCACCUUCAUGGUUAACACCCAUUUUCUUGGUUUUGACACCACUUUUAUCUUUUUGUUCUUGGUUAUGACACCACAAUUUGGGUUAAUCACCUCCAUGGUUAACACCUUUUUUCUUGGUUUUGACACCACUUUUAUCUUUCUGUUGUUGGUUAUGACACCACAAUUUUGGGUUGAUCGCCUUCAUGCUUAACACCCAUUUUCUUGGUUUUGACACCACUUUUAUCUUUCUGUUCUUGGUUAUGACACCACAAUUUGGGUUAAUCACCUUCAUGGUUAACACCCAUUUUCUUGGUUUUAACACCACUUUUAUCUUUCUGUUCUUGGUUAUGACACCACAAUUUAGGUUAAUCACCUUCAUGGUUAACACCUUUUUCUUGGUUUUAACACCAUUUUUAUCUUUUUGUUCUUGGUUAUAACACCACAAUUUGGGUUAAUCAUCUUCAUGGUUAACACCCUUUUUCUUGGUUUUGACACCACUUUUAUCUUAUUUUCUUGGUUAUGACACCAUAAUUUGGGUUAAUCACCUUCAUGGUUAACACCCUUUUCUUGGUUUUAAUACCACUUUUAUCUUUCUAUUCUUGGUUAUGACACCAUAAUUUAGGUUAAUCACCUUCAUGGUUAACACCCUUUUCUUGGUUUUAACACCACUUUUAUCUUUCUGUUCUUGGUUAUGACACCACAAUUUGGGUUAAUCACCUUCAUGGUUAACACCCUUUUCUUGGUUUUGACACCACUUUUAUCUUUCUGCUCUUGGUUAUGACACUACAAUUUGGGGUUAAUCACCUUCAUGUUUAACACCCAUUUCCUUAAUUUUGACACCACUUUUACCUUUCCUUUCUUGGUUAUGACACCACAAUUUUGGGUUAAUCACCUUCAUGGUUAACACCCUUUCUUGGUUUUGACACCACCUUUUAUAUUUCCUUUCUUAGUUAAUUCUUCUUUUUCCUUGGUUUAAAUACCGCUUCAGUCAGUUUCUAGUCUUUUCCGGUUUAAACACCACCCCAAUCUAUCUUUCUUUCAGUCUUAGUUCUCCAAAAUAUGGAGCUCUGACUUUCUUAUUGCACAAUGAGGAUACGUAGGGACGAGGAUGUGAAUCCUUGGCGAGCACUUUUCUUUCUUUCCCCCCUUUCUUUCUCUGGUUCCACGAACUACGACGCUCUGACUUUCUCAUUACAAUAUGAGAAUACAUAGGCAUGAGGGCCCCAAUCCUCCUCGAGCACUCUCUCUAACCCAUUUUCUAUUUUGCAGCUACACGAAGAUAGCAACACCCAUCCAAGCAAGAGCAAUGAAAAUAGUUCCCAUGGAUUACUAUGGAUGUGAGGGGUGUUAAUACCUUCCCCUUGCAUAACCGACUUCCUUACCCAUUUCUCUUUCCCCUUGGGUUUUAUCUAUAUUUCCCCUUCCCUCUUUUAGGGAUAAAUAAAGUUUGGUGGCGACUCUGUUGUAUGUUCGAUUGUGUGACGUGUUCGGGUAUAUUUCUGUCUAGCUUCAGCUGCCGACUCUACUAGGGACUGCAACCUAGUUCGAAGAAGGAGUCGACCCUAGUUUUGUUUGUUUUCUUGUUUUCUUGGAUGUUUAUUUUCAUGGUUUUCCUGCUUUUAUCAUCAUUUUUGUUUAUUGCAUUUAUUUUAUUGCUUUAGAUAUUCAUUUGCUAACCCAUUCUGGAUAUCUGUAUUUUGUUGUUGUUGGGUUGGGCUGAUGUUACUUGAGAUAAGCUCUACACCCAAGCUUGAGUAUACACACGGGAUAGACUCAUGGAUAGUCGUGUUGACCUGGGUUUCACGCAUUGGGUUGGCACGAGACCCACACCUAGACUAGAUUCACUCGGGAGUACUUUUGUCAUGUGAGAAUUCACUAUGACAGAGUAUUUUCAUUUGAAUCCAUGACUUUGGGAAGCCUUUUAGGGAUUACCUUGAAGACUAGUAUGAACCUGUGAGUGGGAUAUUGGUUUUUUGCUGGAAACUAAGCUCCUACAUACUCUAGUUCUCAUGUAACUUCGAACCUUUGAACCAACAUCAAGUAGAAUGUUCAGAUUAUCCAAAAUGUGCCAUGUUGUUGCAUAACCUUUGCAUAUGAUAAAUCAUCAUUGCAUCAUAUAAAUAUUUUUGCAUAUGCAUUUCUAGGGAAUCCGAGAGCCUAGUUUGUUGUCAAGUACUCAGAGAUAGCAUGAAUCCUGUAUAAUGGGUGUUUUCAGUUACAAGUUUAUGGAACCUCGAUUGAAGACUUUGAAGGGAUUGGGAACUCAUCUGGUUUUGGAUCACAUAGAAGAUUUCAAGAAGGCCCGUGGGAAUCUCGCAGGUAUUCUCAACACUGAAAUGAACAUUACAUCAGUUCAUACCCUGAUGCAGUUCUAUGACCCUCCCAUGAGGUGUUUCACUUUUCAAGAUUAUCAAUUGGCUCUUACGUUGGAGGACAAAGCUAACCAUAAAUCUCGAAUGCGUAUAUGGUGUACAAAGCUAACCUUCCACUAAUAUCUAGACACUCCAGUGUAAGAGAGUUGACAUCAUUCAAUUCGACCUCAAACCAAGAAUUUACUUAGGGGAAGGGAAGGAAAGUCCAAAGGCCAAUAAAAUGUUUUUUAAAAAGGACAGAUCAACAUGGUUGCCUCAUAUAAAUCAAAGACAUAAAAAAUAAUCUACUAAGUUGAAUCAUCAUUAGAGGAAAAAAUAUUUCCAUCUAUUACUUUUUGAUUGGAAUGGAAACCAUUCCCUCAAAAUCUUCACACUAGGGUUGCGAAUAUCUACCUUCAAAUCCUUCAAGGUAGCUUCCAUGUCCUUUAAGAUCUAGUGAGUGGAGGUAAUAUACCCAUUGACACUGGCAAAAGAAGCCUUAAUAUCAGUCCAAUAUGUUUGCACUUUUCCCGGAUCCUUCUCAUUCUCAUAGAUCAGCUUCUCAAGUUCCUUUACCCUCAUAUAUAGGGUAGAGGGAAAGUCAUACUUCUUUUUCUAUUCAUCAACAUUCUUAAAAAGCUUUUGCAUUUCUACAAGAUUGGUGUGAAGAUUAUCUAUAUACAGAAGGGUAGAUUUCAAAUGCUAGCAACAAAAGCCAUAACAACACUUUGGAAGAACAUAUUUCUCCCUCCUCAGAUUGUGUGGGGCCAGGACAUCACUUUUGCCAACAACACCAAAAGACAUUAUAGGGGUUACCUUAUGCAAGUAGUAGAAUAUCUCUACCAUUGACUAUCUCCGAGUUAGUUUAGCCAAACGUGCAAAAUAGAUGUAGUUGUUGUCCAUAAAGGCAUUCUGAACAUCGUUACCCGACCUCAGCCUAGGGGUGAAGAGAAAGGAUUGCGAAGAAUAAGAGGGUAAAUCAUUUUGAGUUCCCUAAAGGAGCAAGUUCCCAGUGUCAAGACCAUAUGUCCUGGAUUUUUUAUGAAGCAUGAGCAUCCACUGCAUGACCCUUAUCUAGCAUCCUUAUAUAAGAGUCUUUUCUCACCGUCCUCAAAGAAUAUCUCUUAGAAGCUUGGUUUAUUGGCCGAUCAUAAACUAUCUUCAUGGCUCUAGGGUUUCAUUGAAUUUUCCAUGUUUUGUUUCUCUCGUCCUUCCAUACCUAGGUUGAUCCUAAGAGUUUGUUGCCAAUGGUUCCAACACUCAAUUUGCAUAUCCAAAGCCAGUCACUAUUUUUCCUCUACCAUAACCUCUACGAGUUGAACUUGAGGGGUACAGAAGGAGAAUGUGUGUUCUUUAACCCCUUAUUCAUUUUAAUAAUUGCUUGAAGGAAGCUUAUGGUGUAUGCAAAAUAGAAAACAUUAGAUAAGCAUUCAAAGGAAAUUGAAUGAAAAAACACCAAGUAUUCAAAAACAAGAAAAAUUUCCCUCCUCACCAAAUAUUCUCGGGCUCUCCUUUUUGUUGGCCCAUUCUAUGUUUAGGAUAAUUGUUACCAUAAGGGUAUACAUCGUCCACAUGACCUAGAUCAUCCUAAAACUUGACCAAGUUGUUUUUUAAGUAUUCCUCUUCUUGUGAGACAAGUAUUAUGAGUAAGGGAAGUUAAGUGCCCCGAGGUGAGGCCCGUACCAUCCACAUAACCCAUCUGGAUCUCUCUGAAGCUUUCAUGAGCAUCGCAAAUAAGAUAGGAAACCAGGUAGUACAUGUCUUAAAUUUUUCUAAAGAUAUCCAUGUAAACUUCAAAAUUGUAUUCCCUUGUCUAAAAGCAAGCAAUCCUUGAGGCAGAUUCUUAUUGGUCGAAGUAAGUUGUAUAUGGAAGAUGUGGAAGAAAAAUGUCAAAGUAGGGACAUGAUUUUUUUACUUGCACCAACAUUGAAAGACCUUAAUGUAAGUCCAUCUCACAUGGUGCAACCGCGAAAGAGGAAUCCCUAGAUGAUUCAUAACCAUGAUUUCAAAAUCGUUGAAGGGGAGUCAAAACCUCAUUCUGGAGAAUAAAAACUCACCCACUAACAUUUCACAUCCAUUGAAUCGACUACAUACUAUCUUAUUAUCAUCGACGUGUAAUACCGUCUAGUUAGAGGACAAGCUUACGUCAUAUUAGGCAUUCUCUAAUAUGAGUUUAUUACUGAAGACAAAUCUAAUCCCUAAGAUAUCUUGCUCCAACCAUGAAUAUUGAUCAAUAUCAACAUGAGGUUUAAGAUCUUGUUGUCCCUAUCGUACCAUGUUUGCCUCAGUGUCAAAAAGUUAAAAGUUAUGAGUGUGAGUAAGAGGACGCGAUUGAAACUAUAUGCACCACUUAACUUUAUUGUUGAUGGGAUCAUGAUCAUUAAGGCGUUUAAAAGCUCUAAUGUAGAUCUAGGCCUUAUUUUCAUGUAUAGGAUCACUUACACACUCUAGGUAUGGCGUGGGGAGGCUAGGAAAAUUGAAUCCAAUGGUUACUACUCUAAGGUAAAUCCUAAAUGAAGUAAGUUAUAUCUCUUGAGAAUAAUUGGAUUCAACGUUUAUCAGCUCCGGGGGACCUAUCACUUCCACAACGUCCAUGUUUGGAUCCCCCAUACUUACAUUCUCCCUAGCCUCUACGAAAAUCACCACAAGGCGCAUCUCUCUAACGACAAUGAAUAUAAAAAAUUUAGGCUUAUCACUUUGGCCUGAGAUGAAGCAUCGUUAACCUCUCCAUCACUACUCAAAUCUAUGAUUAGAUGUUUGAGUUUCCUAUAUUGGCCAUGACAAGAAAUCAAAUACAAACAAUUGAAAAAGAGAGGUGAAAGAUAAGUACCUUGAAUAUUUAGUAGGUCUUGAAGAGUGGAGAGAGAAAAAUAAUCAUAAACACAAGAAUCAAUUUUCAACUAGGACGAAGAGCAUAUAACACAAAAAGAUUACAAAAAGUAUUCGUAAAAUCGCAAAGGAAAUGAAGAAAACUAUAUCAUUUUGAAACAAUAAAGGUGAAAAAAGUAAAUGACUUUGCUCACAAAAUUUAUAGGCCACCAAGGGCAACAAGGUCAAUAAAGCAUAAUCAAAUGAGCAUCGAAGGUCACGAUCAAUAACGCAAAUGAGACUUCACAUCUAUAAUUGCACUCGAGUCCACACAAAUACCCUAAGGGAUACAUCUUUGUACUCUAAGUGCAUGGUUCCACAUGCAAGGCCUCCCUUAAAAUAACAUUUCAAUGAUGUGAUGGGCAUUUAAUGCCCAUGUUCCCAAGGUCACCAACCUUACUCGACUUCUCAUACAAACUCCUCAUCUUCCUAAAGCUUCCUUUGACAAGUUCCCACUUACACGACGUAACUCACUAAAGACCAACUUCUAAGUUUUUGCAUCAAUAAUCCUAACUUAUAUCUAAAAGAAAGGACUUAGUGGGGAAAUUGUUUUGUACUGGCCAAGCGGUCCACUAAGACCGGCCUAACACAAAUGCCUAAUCCAAUAAGAGUUGUCAGGUGUCUAUUCAACUAAUGCACCACACUAAAGCAUAACAUCAGCUUUAUCUCAAUUAUUAGUGUACACUCCGGGACAUCCUGCAUCUUAUGUUGUAUCUACCGAUGAUUGUUCUAACCACCAUUCGUAUACAAAGGUGACCCUUUGUCUCCCCAUAGUACGAUUCCUUACCUACUUGUUAAGUUUCACAUCUUUUAUUUAUCGACUUGAGCGUUAGAGUGUUAACCUUCCACGUACCCUCUCUUCGAUCACUAGAAAGACAUACCAUCGCGUUAGAAAACCUUUGUACAAUGGUCAUCAUCCAUACACUACUAUUUCAUGUUCCACACCUAAAUAAUGUCUUUAAUUGUGUGUAUCUUUAGGAUUAUAGAGGUAACUAGUGAGAGGAUGUGUGAGAUAACAAUUACUUUUGUUAUCAUCUAGGUUUUCAUUGACAAAGUUAAUUGUCUAAUAAAACAACAAUUAAAUAGUUAAAAAUCGAGGAUAUCUCUCAUUAGACCUAACAGCAAGAUGGAUCAACUUAUAAUAAUCUACUUCAAACAUAACCUAAUCAAACAAUUAAUUAAUAAUUAGCAUUCGAUAACAAUACUUCAAAAUAUUUUAGUAAUAUCUUAUAAUAACUGAUUAUAUUAAUCAUAAGUGAUUAGUUAAAUACUUAACCUAUUAUUCUCUAACUUGAAUGACACUAAUCGAGUUUAUAUAGAAAAUUAUGAACUAAUCAAAAUAGAAGUAAAGUUGGAUAUUAAAAAAAAUUAUAAAACUAAAUUAUUCAAUUGAAAUCUCUUUUAACAUGUUUUUCUUUUAUCUUAAACAUCACUUCUAUAAAAUAAUUUUUAUAUAUAGUAAAACUAUUGUGCAAAUAUUUAAUGUCUACGUUAUAUAAGUUAAAUUAAAAGAUGUUACAUAUAAGUGUAAAUAACAAAAGUACUUAUGUAAAAAAAUUACCUUUAAUUUAUUUAAAAAACAAUAUUCAAAUUCAUGUUUUUUUAACUUAAAUAAAUUUUGUAUUUUAAAUAUUCAAUCUCAAUAUAUUUUUACCAUUUUCCAUGAUUUAAAGCAUAUAUUACAAAAAAAAAAUGAAUAAAAUAUUUAAUUAUCAUACCGAAGACAAAACACAUAAACAAGCAACACCCUCGUAACCGCAAGGUAACGUCCUCAGAGGGGUAUUAUAGUAAUUUAGACCCUACCCUACACACAGGUCUCAUCGCAAAAUUGCGAACUCCAUUUGAACUUUCUCUCUGGAAUGAAAAAUCUGAAUCUCUCUCUCUCUCUCUAAAAUUUUGAAAGAAAAAGAAAAUGCAUAAUUAAAUAUUAAUUUAUUAUUAAACCCAAACCGUUAAAGAAACUGCCCCAAAGAAACUUUUUCUUGAAUUUCGAUCCUUUGUGCUUCGCUUUGUUCUUCCUCUCUCUCUCUCAGGUAUAAGAUUCUCAUCUUAACUAUGUGAAAUCUCAUCUUUAUCUUUUUCCUUUUUUUGAUCUGUGACAAUUUAUGACCAUACUAAUUACUGAAUCUUUGUUUUUAUUUUGUUGAUUUUGUUGAUUGUGGUUAUGAUAUGCAAAUUGAUGAAUCGGAUCUUUGUUACCUCAUUAGAGAUGAAUAUAAGAUAGAAGGAAUUAGGAUAAUGAAGUGAGAUGAAUUUGAUUUGAUUCUUUGUUAUUUUGAUAAAUUGGUGAUUUAGGUUUUGUUUUGUGUGUUGGAACAGAUGGUAAAGGGAGGGAAGGUUAGUAGCAAAGGUAGUUUCAGGAAAAGGGCUAGGUCAAAGGGGGGUGGUUCUGAUGAUUCCGAUGAGGAUUAUGUGGUUUCGGAUGAUGCGGGGAAUGUGUCUGAUUGUCCUGAGGAUGAUUGUUUUUCUUUAGAUGGAUGUGCGCCCGAGGAUAGUUUUGAUGGUUUUAUAGAAGACGAGGAUGCGGAAGUGGAGAUUCGACCGGUGACGAAAUUCAAUAGAUCGAGGGCUAAAACGGGUGUACGGCGUCAGGGGAAGAAUGUGAGUAAAACUGCGCGGAAGAGACAGAGGAUUACAUAUGCAGAAGAAAUAGAUGAGGAAGAAGAGGAAGAAGAAGAUGAAGAAGUAGAAGAAGAAGAUGAUGAUUAUAAUGGAGAAGAAGAGGAGGAAGAAGAAGAAGAAGAAAAAGAAGUGGACGAGGUAGAAGAAGAAGAAGAAAAAGAAGAAGAAGUGGAAGAGGUAGAAGAAGAGGUGGAAGAGGUAGAGGUAGAUGGAAAUGACGAGGAUGAGGAUUUCAAUUAUGAUGAUGACGAAUUUAUACCUGAGGAAGAAGAUUACACGGACGAAGAGGAAGAAGAAAGAAGUGGGCGGAAGAAGAAAAAGGAGGAUUUUAGUUAUGAAGAUGAAGAAUUUAUACCGAUGGAAGAAGAAAGAAGGGGCAGGAAGAAGAAAAAGGAGGAUUUCAAUUAUGAAGACGAGGAAUUUAUACCGACUGAAGAAGAUUACACAGAUGAGGAGGAAGAAGAAACGAGGGGUAUAACGAAGAAAAACAAUGGCAUUCAAAUGGGAAAGAAGAAGACUUUGAAGAAAAGGGUUUCUGCAACUUCUAGCAGAGGUCGAAAAAGGAGUCGCUCUAGAGUUUCAAAGAAGACCAAGAGAAAGAGAAGAGGAAAG
RNAcentral lists this long non-coding RNA (46303 nucleotides) under Lathyrus oleraceus (garden pea). RNAcentral's name for it is "Pisum sativum (pea) long non-coding RNA (PSAT_LNC008405)". The record is from RNAcentral. Lineage: Eukaryota; Viridiplantae; Streptophyta; Magnoliopsida; Fabales; Fabaceae.